This 63779-nucleotide long non-coding RNA is filed under the name Fragaria vesca (wild strawberry). RNAcentral's name for it is "long non-coding RNA (FVES_LNC002746)". Lineage: Eukaryota; Viridiplantae; Streptophyta; Magnoliopsida; Rosales; Rosaceae. The record is from RNAcentral.
UUUUUUUUUUUUUUUUUUUUUUUUUUUGUUAGAGUAUCACGACGUUAUCCUCACAGGUUUUCAGGCCCAAAGACUAAUCCGUGCCGAGGGAUCAUGUCAGAACGUUUCCUCUCUUCUGGCCACCAAGAAUUCGAACCUAGGUAUGAGGGUUCCACGCCUAGACUCUUACCAACUCGAUCACAUGUGGUGGUUACUAUAUGAUAGUCUUAAACGAGUUAAACGACUCCCGCCCUGUAAAAGAACGAUCUGAAACUAUAUGAGAAAUUGUUCAAUGUAUUGUAGCCCGUUUCUUGAAUGUUGAAUGCACAAGUAGUUGAAUGUCUAAUUUGAUGCCAUCAACAACAUCCAUCUGUCCAUUUAUUAUUUGGGAACCAAAGUCUGGACCGCUUGAUCAUUGAUGAAGUAUGUGUACUCUGGUGAUAUAAGUGACCAAGAUAAGAAGCAAAAGCAGAAAUAGCAUGCAGGGGUUUCAGUUACUUCUGGCAAAAUAGUUAUUGAGGUUCCCACUGGGGCUAAAUAGUGAUAAAGAUGUGUCAAUGGAGACAUAGUAAUGCUGCUUCAUUAUAAACACACCUCCAGCCACACUCACUUAGAAAGAUGAUGGACCAUUGACUGUGUAUAUUCUUCUAACUUGGAUAACAAUCAUGUGCUGGUACAUUAUGGUGUUUCAGCUUAGGGUUAGGCAUGAUGAAUUAAUCAGAAAGAACAGGACAAAAAGAGCCACAAUAGUACAACAUGGAAAAUCCAUAUAUAAUGUCAAAUCUCACUGUAGAGAUUCAUCAACAACUACAACAUUACAGUAUCAGAGAGUAGAGAAAGAUGGGUGGUAUUCCAUGGACUGCGGAAGAGGAUCAGUUGCUGAGGAAGUGCAUAGAGAAGAAUGGAGAAGGCAAAUGGCAUCAAAUUCCUCACUUAGCCGGUAAUUAACUUGAGUUAUGUUAAUUAAUCUGUUUUCUGCACUACUAGCUUGUAUGUAUUUUGGAGACUAGGAAAAGAUUGAUCAAUGACAUGGUUAAGGUUCGAAAUCAGGUCUAAACAGGUGCCGUAAGAGCUGCAGGCUUCGAUGGCUAAACUACCUUCGGCCAAACAUCAAGAGAGGGAGCUUUGAACAAGAGGAAGUUGAACUCAUCAUCAAGCUCCAAAGGCUCCUGGGAAACAAGCAAGUUCAUCUCAAACUCACAUAUAUAGCUCUCUUUCAGUUGACAUUUUGUCUUGAAAUGUUACUAUCGACCAGUGCUCCUUGAACACACACUUUUCACUCUUUCAAUUAACUAAACAGUGCUACAAAUACUUCUGAUGAUCUGAAACUCUGAAACCGCUUUUGACAGUUUUUGAAGUACCAAAUACACUAACAAAUAUAACACACCCAGGUGAACUUUAUUUGCUUUUAAAUUUUCAGGUGGUCAUUAGUUGCAGCUAGGCUUCCAGGAAGGACCGGUAAUGAUGUGAAGAACUAUUGGAAUUGCCACUUGAGCAAGAAGCUAAAUGCUCAAGAACCUCAUGAUGAUCAUCAGAAGAUAAAUCAUGCAAGUAAUGUACAAGUCAUCAGACCCCAACCUUCAAAAUAUGCCAGCUCAAACUCAAAGAGGCCAAUGAUAAGUAGUACUCUUGAGGAUCAGCCUUGCCAAGCCUUGGAGGAAAGCAACAGAUCAUCAAAGGCAAUCCUGUGCAGUAUUGAUAGAGACCAGGGGCAGAUCGGUCAGAUAGUUGAGAGAGAGGAUAGCAACAAUCCAUGUGUAAAGGAAGAACAGGAAGGGAACAAUGACUUCAUUGGUGAUUUCGGGAUGGUAGACCUUGAUCAAUUUGAACAAGUUAUUGAGCAAUAUGAUCAAGAGGUCAACAACAACAACAACAAAUGGGAGUGGGAUGACUCCAUCUUGGACAUGGAUCUUUGGAUUUCUGACUCUUCAUAAAUAGUUAUGAAAGUGAUUUUAUUCUUAGGUGUCUACUAGUCAUUAGUAAGAUUAUGAUGCGUGAUUCUGUAAUCAAAAUAAUGUUCAUGUAUCUUGUAGUAGACUAAUGUCGAAUUGCCAUUUCUUUGCAUUGCAAUGGUGAUAGUGUCUACUGCCUAGCAAAAUUGAAACUAGUAACCCGAUAGUACUCUAAUUAGAUUCUAAAAUUUAAUCAAUAUCUCGUUAUUACAUUAUCGAUAAUAAAUCAAUCAAUGAUUAAUUGAAAAGAAUCUGAUUAAAGUAUUAUUAGAAUGUUUAUCUAUGCGGCACCAUAAGACCGAAACUUAACAUCCUUUGCUUUCAUAAAAAUCAAAUUGCUUUCACCCAUUUAUCACACUUUAAAGUGAGAUAGUCUCUCUUUCUUUUGUUCAGCAAAUGGAGUCACUGAGCCAAAAACACCAUACUACUAGCAGAAGAGGUUUUGGAAAUGAAAACUGAAUAUUUUUACUUUUAUACCUCAAAAUAUUAAAUAACUUCAUAAAUUUCUCCAAUGUUUUCUAUCUCUAUUAAUUUAUCUUUAUUUAUUAAUUAACCCAGAAGGAUUAUAGAAUGGUUAAAUUUUUAAACUACCUAUAAUAUCUUCUAUAAGGAUUUAAGAAAUCACGGGUAUAAUGGACAACUUAACUGUUAGUUUUUUUAUUUUUUAAAUUCAAUCAUUUUUUUGGAGAGAAAAAAGUGGGAGAGAUAAGAUCAUAAGAGUGAUUAGUUAAACCAGUAAAUUGAAAAUAAGAAAUAAAAUAUAAAAAAAAGAGGAAAAAUAGCAUAUUGACAGUAGUGCGGGUCAAAAAGGUUGUCGGGAUAUAACGAAGCAAAGGAAAAGUAAAUGAUUAAUUUUAUAAAGCAAGCCAAUGAGCGGUUUCCACUUUCGAGUACAAGUAUAAAGCAAGCCAAGCGGCUUUUUCAUUCUAGUCUUUUCAUUUCCGAAUUCCGAUUGUGCUUGCAAGUCUGGUGCUUUGCCUUCAAUUCUGUCUGCCUCUGGUUAAACCCCUAAACCCUUUUGCUCUUCUUUGUUCUGCUUCUCCAUUUUUGUUACUAGUUUAUGAGAAAACCCAGUUUUACUAUCUGCUAAACACUAAUAUGUAUGUUCUUCAAAACCCUUUUCAUGAUUUGUUUCAUUUUCUUUAUGAUCACUCUGUGAAUGUUGCUGUGAAUGAAUCAUCUGCUAUGUUUUUGUGUUGGUAUUGAUUUGAUUGUGUUUUCGGCUCCAGAAGUGAUCAACUACCCAGUUGAAUGUUAGUGUAAUAUGUGCUGCUGACUGAACAAAACUACAGGAACCUGAAACUAAAUUGAUUUUCCUUGAAUUAACAUAAGAAAAGUCACAUCUUGGCUUAUAAAGUUGAGUACUUGGUGGUUAAAAUUUGCCCAUCUGCUCUGUUUUUGUGUUAGCAUCAAUUUGAUAGUGUGUGUGGCUCCCCAGGAAAGUGAUCAAACUAACUACCCAGUUGAAAUUUAGGGUAGUAGUUACGGCUGAUUGAACUAAAACUACAAGAAGCUGAAAUGAGUUUGAUUUUCUGCAAUAAACAUAACAUAUGACACCUCUUGGCUUUUAUAAAAUUUCAGUACUUUAAGUCAAAUGUUGCUCACUAUGUGUCUUAUUUGCAAAAAUGUUCCUGUUUUGCUUAUCUUACUGGGAUUUUUUUGUAUAGGCAUAAGUGUUCUUGUAAUGGCGUAUAUACCACCGCACAAGCGAAACUCAAAUGAAGCCGAGAGGCCAGUGCUAACUCCAGACAAGCUUGCUCCUUUAUUUAUGAGAAAUGUAAAUGUAAGGUCAUCUAAGUCUAAUAAUAAAUGGGGUUCAAAGAUAAUCUAUGCAGACCAUGCUAUAUCGAAAUGGUGGGCAGUUGGUUUGAAUGAUGACACCCGGUUCCCCUCUUCUGUUAAUCUUAAACCCAUUUCCUCGGAAACCAUUGAGCACAGAAUUGGAGAAAAGCCUCUAGCGUUAAGGAAUUCUGAUCUUGAUGAUGGUCAGUACUGUGAAAUUUGGCUUUAUGUGAAAAACUUUGUUUAGUCUGCGUUAUGAAUCAUGUUGGUAAUGUUUUAUGUGUUUGAUGCUUGAUAUUAGGUAAUGAGGUACAAUUGGACUUGCCAAAGAGCCCAUGGGUAUAUAUUGCAAAGAAUGUGGUUGAAGACCUACUUGUGUCUUUUGAAAAUGUGAAGGAGGAAGUGAAGUCCCCAAAGUUAGAAGGUCUAAAGCCUGCAUUGGUUGCUCGAGUUGGAAAAAUUCUUUUCCAUAGGUUACUGUUUCCUCUCAUUCUAAUGGGUUUAUCAGCUAAUCUUUCAUCCAUUUAACUUGAACAUCUCAUAAAUUUUUCCUUUUUCUUCUUGUUGUUUUAGCUGCGUACGAUAUGAACUUAUUUGACAAUCAUGUAUUUAGAGUAAUACUCUAGCAUAGAUGCAUGAGACUGUAAGUGAUAUGUGAUAUUUGACAAUUAUGUUUCAAGCAAUUUUUCUUUGAAGUUAAAGUAGGUCGCCUUCGUAAUGGCCAAAUUGACUGCCCAAAAUUUGAUUUGAUCGAACAAACUAAACACUUGGACCUAUUUGUGAUGUAGGAGAUUAGGUCCUCUUGAUUAAUCCAAUCUACUGCUGAUUUGAAGUGAGCAGAAAAGAAACACACACACACACACAUAUUAUACUCAAUUGUAUUUGAACAAAUGUAAACUAAAUGGUAAUAUUUGCAAUUCAGGACCCCUUCAGUUACCCUGGAAUCUCUCGGAGAAAAUUUGACUACUGCAAUGUUGAAAAAUUGGAAGAAAACAUCAUUUUACGCAAAUGUUCCUGUUUCGUAUACAGAGAAGAUUGUAAAUGAAGUUGUCCCGAAUAUUGGAGCUGCUUUUGAAUCGGAGAAAGAUAUAUACCAAGUAAAGGUAUUUAUCUUCCUAUACCCAUCAAUCUACUGAAUGUAUGGUUUCCAAAGUUCUGAUAUUGGCUAUUGAAACCCUCAUUUGGUUCUUCUUGAACAGUUGGCUGAUUCAACAAAACCAGACUCAACUCUCUCCUGCAAAUGCAGUGUGAAAGAUGGAAAGCUACAACUGUACAAGGCAAGAUUUAUAGUAGUCCUGUUAUAUUGAAUUUGGUGUUUAAUAAAUCAUGAUAUCACACUUCUAUGUCAUCAUUUUCAAUAUGAUAUUUUUACUGCAAAUUCAUAAGAUUUUUAUAAGAAGAAUAAUUGUUAAAUGAGGAUGAAAUCAAAAUCUGCCCUCCUGUAAGUUUCCUUUUCGCUUGUUAUAGUUCUAUUUACUGUUGCGUAUAUCAAUAAUCAACUUUCAUCCAGGUUGAACUAAACCAAGUGCGUUUUAUGUUGAUGGACAUGUCCAUCCCUAAUAAGAAUCUGGACCUGAGACUGAUGUUAAACAUGAAGAGAGUUUUAACAAGUCAGACUGUAAGUUACUUCUCCUCGUACUAUUUGAAAAUUUUUCAUUGCCAUUCUUUGUUGUUUUAGAAACACAAGGAAACUAGUUAUUAUAUAUUAGUAUAGCAGCCAAAACCAAAACAAGCUACAGAAAAAGGUGAAUUGUUAUCUAUGUGUUCAGAUUAUGAGUGUUAAGAUCAAGGGAGGAACUUUUGUACAUUGGAAUGAGGUUUUGUGAUCAGAUUAGUCUUUUCUGUUUCAGGAUGAUGAGAUGCAAAGCAUUAGGGAUCUGGUUGAUUCUGCGAUUACAGAUCCAGAUGUGAAGGGUGGGUUGAGAUGGCCCCUGGAGAAGACAUCUUCUGGAAAGUACAAUGUCAUUGGGGUUUGGCAUGUAAGAGCUAAAGCAUAUAAAAAUCAGUCAUUAAGAUUCAAGGUCAGGCAUGCCGAUCGAUUUGAUUUCAUAACCUCAAGUGGGGAAGCAUCUUGGGAGACCAGUCUGAGGUUGAAAAAGGUUGUCUCAGAGUUAAAUGUAAGUGCUCACAUUCCUCUGUGACUCACUCUGCCCACCUCAUGUACUACUCUCUUCUAAGCAUCUGGAGUAACCUCCUUUUUCUUUCAACUUUCAGGAAGAGAAGGUUGAUGUCAGCUCGGUUACUGAGAUGCUGGAGGAAGAUAUGAAGUUCAUCUGGGACAACUUCUUAACCUGUGAAAGUUUUCUCACAUGAAAGUAGAUGUCGUAAGUCUGUAAAUCUAUCUCUCUAUCGUUUCAAUUCGUCAUUGCAGAGUAUGAGGAUAAUUAAAAACAGAUUGCCACAGCUGGUUUACUGUUCAUGCAAUGGCGGAGUUAUGUAUUUUGACGAUUUAGUGUAAUGCAUUAAGCUACUGACUUGGUAUUUAAGCUGUCUAUUUCAUAUAUAAGAUGUUCUUCCUUUGGUUACAAUUGAGACCGGCUUUGAUAUCUUGUGGGUGGAACCCCAUUUUUGAUACCCUUUUGAUGGCAUGAGCAAGAAGCCACAAACCACAAUAUAUCUCAGGCAAUAAAUCUUCAUAGCUUUUGAUAUGUCCAUCACAUAAUGUCGAAUUGCCAUUUCUUUGCAUUGCAAUGGUGAUAGUGUCUAAAGCCUACCAAACUUGAAACUCUUGAGUAACCCGUUAGUAGUCUAAUUAGAUUAUAGAAUUUAAUCAAUAUCUCGUUAUUACAUUAUCGAUGAUUAAUUAAAAAUAAUAUCCAAUUAAAGUAUUAUUAGAAUGUUUAUCUAUGCGGCACCAUAAUACCGAAACCGAACAACAUUUACUUUCAUAAAAAUCAAAUCGCUUUUACCCAUUUAUCACACUUUAAAGUGAGAUAGUCCCUCUUUCUUUUGUUCAGCAAAUGGAGUCACUGAGCCAAAAACACCAUAAUACUAGCAGAAGAGGUUUUGGAAAUCAAAAGUUCAAAACUGAAUAUUUUUACUUUUAUACCUCAAAAUAUUAAAUAACUUUAUAAAUUUCUCCAACGUCGGGAUAUAAAGAAGCAAAGGAAAAGUAACCAAUGAGCGGUUUCCACUUUCGAGUGUAAAUAUAAAGCAUGCCAAGCGGCUUUUUCAUUCUAGUCUUUUCAUUUCCGAAUUCCGAUUGUGCUUGCAAGUCUGGUGUUUUGCCUUCAAUUCUCUCUGCCUCUUGGUAAACCCCUAAACCCUUUUGCUCUUCUUUGUUCUGCUUCUCCAUUUUUGUUACUAGUUUAUGAGAAAACCCAGUUUUACUAUCUGCUAAACACUAAUAUGUUUGUACCUCAAAACCCUUUUCAUGAUUUGUUUCAUUUUCUUUAUGAUCACUCUGUGAAUGUUGCUUUGAAUGAAUCAUCUGCUCUGUUUUUGUGUUGGUAUUGAUUUGAUUGUGUUUUCGGCUCCAGAAGUGAUCAACUACCCAGUUGAAUGUUAGUGUAAUAUGUGCUGCUGACUGAACAAAACUACAGGAACCUGAAACUAAAUUGAUUUUUCUUGAAUUAACAUAAGAAAAGUUACAUCUUGGCUUAUAAAGUUGAGUACUUGGUGGUUAAAAUUUGCCCAUCUGCUCUGUUUUUGUGUUAGCAUCAAUUUGAUAGUGUGUGUGGCUCCCCAGGAAAGUGAUCAAACUAACUACCCAGUUGAAAUUUAGGGUAGUAGUUACGGCUGAUUGAACUAAAACUACAAGAAGCUGAAAUGAGUUUGAUUUUCUGCAAUAAACAUAACAUAUGACACCUCUUGGCUUUUAUAAAAUUUCAGUACUUUAAGUCGAACUUUGCUCACUAUGCGUCUUAUUUGCAAAAAUUCCUGUUUUGCAUAUCUUACUGGGAUUUUUUUGUAUAGGCAUAAGUGGUCUUGUAAUGGCGUAUAUACCACCGCACAAGCGAAACUCAAAUGAAGCAGAGAGGCCAGUGCUAACUCCAGACAAGCUUGCUCCUUUAUUUAAGAGAAAUGUAAAUGUAAGGUCAUCUAAGUCUAAUAAUAAAUGGGGUUCAAAGGUAAUCUAUGCAGACCGUGCUAUAUCGAAAUGGUGGGCAGUUGGUUUGAAUGAUGACACCCAGUUCCCCUCUUCUGUUAAUCUUGAACCCAUUUCCUCGGAAACCAUUGAGCACAGAAUUGGAGAAAAGCCUCUAGCGUUAAGGAAUUCUGAUCUUGAUGAUGGUCAGUACUGUGAAAUUUGGCUUUAUGUGAAAAACUUUGUUUACUCUGCGUUAUGAAUCAUGUUGGUAAUGUUUUAUGUGUUUGAUGCUUGAUGCUUGAUAUUAGGUAAUGAGGUACAAUUGGACUUGCCAAAGAGCCCAUGGGUAUAUAUGGCAGAUAAUGUGCUUAAAGACCUACUUGAGUCUUUUGAAAUUGUGAAGGAGGAAGCGAAGUCCCCAAAGUUUGAAGAUCUAAAGCCUACAUUGGUUGCUCGAGUUGGAAAAGUUCUUUUCCAUAGGUUAGUGUUUCCUCUCAUUCUAAUGGGUUUAUCAGCUAAUCUUUCAUCCAUUUAACUUGAACAUCUCAUACAUUUAUCCUUUUUCUUGUUGUUUUAGCUGCGUACUAUAUGAACUUAUUUGACAAUCAUGUAUUUAGAGUAAUACUCUAGCAUAGAUGCAUGAGACUGUAAGUGAUAUGUGAUAUUUGACAAUUAUGUUUCAAGCAAUUUUUCUUUGAAGUUAAAGUAGGUUGCCUUCGUAAUAGCCAAAUUGACUGCCCAAAAUUUGAUUUGAUCGAACAAACUAAACACUUGGACCUAUUUGUGAUGUAGGAGAUUAGGUCCUCUUGAUUAAUCCAAUCUACUGCUGAUUUGAAGUGAGCAAGAAACACACACACACACACACCAACAUAUAGUCCAGGUUGGAGAGGGGACCCCUGAUUCUAAGCCUCUGCCCUUACUUUCACAUAGAACUGUGUUUUGAUAACAAUGGUUAGUUACUGUCAAUGUUCCGCUACUUCAUAUAUUUAACGAUGAAAAAGCAUAUUAUACUGAAUUAUAUUUGUAGAAAUGUAAACUAAGUGGUAAUAUUUGCAAUUCAGGACCCCUUAAGUUACCCUGGAAUCUCUCGGAGAAAAUUUGACUACUGCAAUGUUGAAAAAUUGGAAGCAAAGAUCAUUUUACACAAAUGUUCCUGUUUCGUAUACAGAGAAGAUUGUAAAUGAAGUUGUCCCGAAUAUUGGAGUUGCUUUUGAAUCGAAGAAAGAUAUAUACCAAGUAGAGGUAUUUAUCUUCCUAUACCCAUCAAUCUACUGAAUGUAUGGUUUCCAAAGUUCUGAUAUUGGCUAUUGAAACCCUCAUUUGGUUCUUCUUGAACAGUUGGCUGAUUCAACAAAGCCAGACUCAACUCUCUCCUGCAAAUGCAGUGUGAAAGAUGGAAAGCUACAACUGCAGAAGGCAAGAUUUAUAAUAGUCCUGUUAUAUUGCAUUUGGUGUUUCAUAAAUCAUGAUGAUCACACUUCUAUGUCAUCAUUUUCAAUAUGAUAUUUUUACUGCAAAUUCAUAAGAUUUAUAUAAGAAUAAUUGUUAAAUGAGGAUGAAAUCAAAUUCUGCCCUCCUUUAAGUUUCCCUUUCGCUUGUUAUAGUUCUAUUUACUGAUGCGUAUAUCAAUAAUCAACUUUCAUCCAGGUCGAACUAAACCAAGUGCGUUGUAUGGUGGUGGACAUAUCCAUCCCUAAUAAGAAUCUGGACCUGAGACUGAUGUUAAACAUGAAGAGAGUUUUAACAAGUCAGACUGUAAGUUACUUCUCCUCAUACUAUUUGAAAAUUUUUCAUUGCCAUUCUUUGUUGUUUUGGAAACACAAGGAAAUAGUUCUUAUACAUUAGCAUAGCAGCCAAAACCAAAACAAGCUACAGAAAAAGGUGAAUCGUUAUCUGUGUUCAGAUUAUGAGAGUAGGAUCAAGGGAGGAACUUUUGUACUUUGGAAUGACGUUUUGUGAUCAGAUUAGUCUUUUCUGUUCCAGGAUGAUGAGAUGCAGAGCAUUAGGAAUCUGGUCGAUUCUGCGAUUACAGAUCCAGAUGUGAAGGGCGGGUUGAGAUGGCCCCUGGAGAAGACAUCGUCUGGAAAGUACAAUGUCAUUAAGGUUUGGCACGUAAGAGCUAAAGCAUAUAAAAAUCAGUCAUUAAGAUUUAAGGUCAGGCAUGCCAAUCGAUUUGAUUUCAGAACCUCAAGUGGGGAAGCAUCUUGGGAGACCAGUCUGAGGCUGAAAAAGGUUGAAUCAGAGUUAAAGGUAAUUGCUUACAUAUUCUGCCCACCUCAUAUGCUACUCUCUUCUAAGCAUCCGGAGUAACCUUCAGUUUCUUUCAAUUUUCAGGAAGAGAAGGUUGAUGUCAGCUCGGUUUCUGAGAUGCUGGAGGAAAAUAUGAAGUUCAUCUGGGACAACUUCUUAACCUGUGAAAGCUUUCUCACAUGAAAUUAAGUACAUGUUGUAAAUCUUUAAAUCUAUCUCUCUAUCGUUUGAUUCGUCAUCGCAGAGCAUGCGGAUAGUUUAAAACAUAUUGCCACAGCUGGUUUACUGUUCAUGCAAUGGUGGAGUUAUGUAUUUUGACGAUUUAGUUUAAAUGUUUAAUGCAUUAAGCUACUGACUUGGUAUUUAAGCUGUCUACUUCAUAUGUAAGAUGUUCUCCCUUUGGUUACAAGUGAGACCGACUUUGAUAUCUUGUGGCUUGAACCCCAUUUUUGAUACCCUUUUAAGUUUUGGUGGCAUGCGCAAAAACCACAAUACAUCUCAGGCAAUAAAUACUUCAUAGUUUUCUGAUAUGUCCAUCACAUAAUAUUUUGCUAGCACAACUGACACUAUACCAAGGAAUAAGAAAUAGGGGAAACCAUAAAAGUCUCCCUACCAGGUACUUACAUUAUUAAUCAUCCAAUUUGAUCUAAUAGCGGAACUAUAAUAUGAAUUAUACACUAUAAAUCAAUAUUCAUAUCACUAAUUUACUCUUCAGUUGCCGAUCGAGCUUGUACUCCAACGUCUGAUUAGCACGCAGCCCGGGACGAAGUCCACUGCCUUGUAAGGAUCACGUACUGACACUGCGAUACAGUUUGUUAUGGUUGGUAGUUUUACUUUUACUUAUUACCUUAUACCUCAUCUCUAGAUCAUCACCAUUAGUUCGUGUUUUUGCUUCAACCUCAUCAUGAUCUUUCCCUGAGUUCCUGUAUACCAUAUAUAGGAUCAUUUGUGCGAUGCCGAAUAGGAAUCCCAGUACGUUUGGUAACUGUUCAUCAUCAUAUGGUUACCGUAUCAGGCUGAUUAGUUUACUUGGAUUAACAAUAAUGACAUCUUAGGUAACAUCAGAUAAUGAAAGUAAAAUGGUAAUAGUACUACUUACUGCAAUGUAGUAAUCCUUUGUGAAAAGUCCGUAGAAGAACCAAGUGGUAGCACAAAGUGUGAGGAAUAAGGACAAACCAAAUGGCAUGAAUUCCACACUUUUGGUUCUUAUUACUUCCCUCUGCAUAAUGAACGUAAUAGUAGAGGUUGAGUAACCCAGAAAGUUAGCAUAUACUUGAAAAUAAGCCACUUCUCCAAGUUCUAGCAUAUACCAUAAUGCUUAAAGGAGCCGCAAAAACAGCAAUGUUAAACACAGCACAGAUCCAUCCAACUGCGGCGACGCGUUUGGUUCCACUUAGAAGGAAGAUAGUGGCUGCCAACGUCAACCCAAACGCUACAUUGACCAGCAGAAUCAAGUUCAGCGUAAAAAUCUGCAAGAGUUGCACAAGUAUAUCUCAAUCAAACUAGGAAACUUAAUAUGCAUGAGACAAGCUGUAUGAGAGAGAUUUGUACAAGUCACUCACCCUCUGCUUCUUGGGAGCAUAUGUGAGAUAGAAUAUGAGGUAAGCAACUUCGAUAACGAUUCCAAAGGCAUUGAUGCUGAUGAUCAAGAUAGCAUUUGUCUUGAUCACACCAUAAUACAACAACAACAUUGCACUCAAAAGCGCAACCACAUAUGGUAUGGAUUGGAACCCUUCUGAUGAUUUCUUCUUGUAAAUUCUGUAAAAUGUUGGCCUGAUCCAUGAGAAGGAGAUCGUAUAAGUUAGUCAGGGAUAAUACGUACGUACCAUGAAUGAGAAGUAUGUAUUUAGUUAGUGUUUGAGUUAAAUGGUCUUACAUUGGUGCCAAGAACACCAUGAAUGACACAAUGUUACCUGCAUAUAUGUGAAGAAUGUCAGCUUUAAUAAAAGUGAAUUAGCAUGAAAAAAUGAGACAAAAAUGUUAAAAUUUCCAAGUUUUUUUUCCUAGCUAAAGGAUGUUUAAGUAUGCAUUGUCUUCAGCUUUUUAAUUUAGAUAAUAUACAAUACCUAACAAACCGAAUGAGAAAGCGAGUUGCUCAGUAGUCGAAUACGCCAUAAGUUUGAUCUGGAGUAUGUAUUUCUUAUAAUGAUGAAGAUGCUUAUUUCUUUCUUUCUUGUUUUUUUUUCUUCGUUUUUUUUUUUCUGUUGAAGUUUUCCCAAUGCACUAGAGAUUGGCUCUGAAAAAGCUUGGGUGACUAUUCUGCUGGGAGCUUCCUUUAUAUAGUAGAAAUGUAAAUUAGGCAACUGAGCAAUCGAAAACAAUUAGGCAACUGGAUAAUGUAAGAAGUAACGUGAACAAUGCAAGAUAUAUUGAUUAUAUACACUGUAAUUUGGCUACCUUAAUCUGAUGAUGUACUUCGUCAUGUAUACACUGUAAUUUGGCUACCUUAAUUUGAUGAUGUACUUCGUCAUGUCACAUCCUGUCCAGUUGGUUUUCUAAGUUACCAUUGCUGGAAAAUGGGAACAGAAACUAAGCAGCAAGGUAGGUUUCUAGCUUUGGCCUAAACCAUGUAUAUACAACCAAAACCAAUCGAUAUUUUGACGAGUCGAUAGAAGGACUACACGAUCCAAUACUAAUCGAUAGUACAUGUUCAUGGAAGUAAGCUAUUAUAUAUUUCUCUAAUAUAAUCAGUAGAUCAAUAUGUACAUACAUGAGUUGUAUAUACAAGGUUUUAGGUCUACAUGAUUUGUCGCAUCACACUUGAUUUCAUGGACAUGUUCUAUCGAUUUACCAUUUCAGAGUUGGUAUAUACUCGCAAUCCAAUUAGUUGCUCUUAUAACAUAUAGAAAUUGGACGUUCUAUUCAAAUUACUAAUUUUGGAUUCAUUGAAAAGUUGAUAAAAUGCUGAAAAAUUGCCGACAAUCUUACCCAUAUGCUCCCAAACAUGCAUUCCCAGGUUUCAGUCGUUAAUUUCCAUGAAGAAAUAUAUCUAAAAGUGAACAUCUUUGAGAUUAAUUACAUAAUCUAUAACAUUGGCGAUCAGUCUUUCAAACCUUAAUAUAUCACACACACUCGGUUCUUUUGUGGUCGUGAAUUUUUUUGAUGGACUAGUACGUAAAUUGAAGCCUUCAUACAAGCUAAUUAAGUAGAAAGACCGUCCAAAAUAGGAACAACAUCAAUUAAAGUAAUCACUUGGCAUGCAUGCAUUAUUUUCCAUUUACAGAUUGAGACGUAGGGUUCUUACUAUACUAAUUAUACCUACGCUGCUUGCUCUUAAUCUUUGUAUAUAAAUUGCACUUGUAGUAGAGCAUAUAUGUGGAACUUUAAGCACCACAACCAGUAUAUGAUCCCUCACCAAAUCAAACACCGAUUGCCUAAGGAAAGGGUUAUGCAUGCGUAUAUGCAAUUCAAUUGUGCCGAACUAACCAGUAGUGAAUCGAAUAUAGUAUCAAACGACAAACCUUUCGCAAUAAUUCUUACCUAGCUUUAAUCUGUAUGUUUAUCUUUUCAAUUAUUUUGGACUUUCAGUUCCCAAGCCAAUGAAAUCAAAAGAUAAAUAUGUACAUGAAUGUAAUUCGUAAAACUAUAUACGUACGACAAGUACUAUGCAUGUUGUGGUAAUCUAGCUAGCAGAUUACAUCGUUAUUUCCUAAUAAACUCGACUGCAACUCUACAUAUAUAUAAUAAAACUAAUAUCUAAACACAGCCUGCAGAUACGUACAGAUCGGAAAACAAAGAAAAACCAGCAUUUCGAUCAUUUCGAUCAUGUUCGUGUCACACCGACAACACUCCUAAAGAUAAAGACAAUGGUGUUGCUGAUGAACUCAUCCCUCUCUGUGCCUUCUGCACUCGAAGAAAUUGAUGUACAAAAUAUUACUACUUUGCUAUAUGUUAAACAAAUAUGAUCGAGUAGCUAAUCAAAGGCUCACCAUUUCUGCUACAGUGUUCUUCCAAGCCUUGUCCAUCUCUUCAAAGACAUCGUCAACCGUAGGGCGACCCUUGCUUGAUUUGGCAACACAAAGUACUGCAAUUUGUAGAAUCGAAUCAAAGUCAGCCUUGUUGACAUUUCCAUUUAGUCUUGGGUCUUCAAGAUCCUCGGGUGGACGCUUGUUCAAACUCACAUCCUUCGCCUACAAAACCAAAAUUGAGAUCUCUCUCACUCUCUCUACAUAGAAACAUAUGAACAUUUGUAUGUACGUGUAUGUGUAUACGUAUAUAUACGUACCUUUCUUGUGAGUUGAUCUCUCGCAUCAAGAUCAAGCUCAAACACUUUCUGCCCUGACAGAAGUUGCAGGGUAACGAUACCAAAACUAUAGACAUCACUGGCACAGGUUAAUUUGGCAUUGGUCAUGUACUCUGGAUCCAUGUACCCUAUUGUUCCUCUAACAUCUGUAAAUACUUUGCUCUCCUCCAUCCCCAACAUCUUUGCCAACCCAAAGUCUGAUAGCUUGGGGUCCAAGUUCUCAGUCAAAAGGAUGUUCGUCAGCUUUGUAAAAGCAAAUUAACAUGGAUCAACAUCAAGUAAUUAUCCUUUCAAACACUAAUUCAUGAAAUUUCAUCAUAAACUACGAUAGGUAAUUACCUUAAUAUCUCUGUGAACUAUGCAGCCAUCAAUAUAGUGGUGUAGAUACCUCAAAGCAAGCGCACAGUCUCUGAGAAUCUUAACCCUUCUCUCCCAUGUCAAUACAGGAUCAUUUCCUGCAUGUAAAUACACCAAGACACGAGUUUUGAUUAGUAAGAUGCUAAGGAAUUCGAAAUAAUCUGAUCAGGAAAUAGUUAAGGAUCAUAUUGAGUUUAUACUUAGAAGAUGUUGAGCCAGAUUCCCUGAUGAGCAAUAUUCAUACACAAGAUAUUGCUCGCCGUCUUCGACACAGCAACCAAAGAGGCAAACCAAGUUCGGGUGUCGAACCCUAGAGAGCUGUUCCACUUCUCUUGUGAAAGAAUCUGAUAUGUUACUCUUGUUGAUGUGCUUAACGGCCACAACUUGUCCGCUAGGAAGAACCCCUUUAUAAACAUGACCUGCACUUCCUCGUCCAAGGUGCUUUCUUUCAGGUCCGUAAUUUAUGGCAUUCUCAAUCUCAGCCUUGGAGAAUCUAUACAGGCCAGACCACGUAGUAGUCGUUGAUCCUGAGAGAAUCGGUUUUAGGGGCUUCUUCUUCGUUACGUGUUUUAUCAGCAUGACUAUCAGCACUAGUCCAGUGAUGGCUAUCAUGAUCGAAAGUAUCGCUUCUACAAGGGAAUCUGUUGAGCUAAAAUGAUUAAUUUCUAUAAAAUUAUAAACAUCAAGUAUGCAAACGAUCAUGAAAUUGCAGUAAAGAAACCGAUACAAAGACUAAUGCUUACAUUUGAGUUUGAAGUAACCUGGUUCUGCAUGGGAACCAAAAACAAAAACACAGAGUUAGCUGUGAUAGAGUACGUUCAAUUCAGUGACCAACGUACACGAAGUAGUUUAUUUUCUUACCGAACUUGUCGAACUUAGUCAUACACCCAAAGUAGUCGUCAAUAUAAGCAUUCGAAAUGUUCCCGGCUGCAACGGAAAUAACCGCAGCUACACCGCAUAUCGAAUCUUCGGUUUUGUUGUUAUCAUUCUUCUGAUGAUACCGGUCCAACAAAUGUUGCUUAAGAUUUCCCACGGCAGCGGAGCAAGGGGUACAGACGGCAUCAAAUGAAGAAGAAGCAUUGCCAAAUUGAGAACAAAAGUUCAAUGCGUCUUGGUACUCCUUCCCUUGCUUAAUCUCUGCCAAGUUUACUUUGGAGCAGUCGCUGCUGCCAUCGUAAAGAUCAUUAAGGCUACAGUGAACGGCAGACACGUCUUGUCGAACAAAUGAGCCAGUGCAGUUAAUCCAUUCCGCAUUGGAAACAAAGACACCGCCCUGCGUUCUAAAGGCUUGGCAGGCCAAUGCUUGGGACAAAGUGGUGAGCACAUUUCGACAGCAGAGAUUUGGAAGUGUAAAGCUAUCCCAGACCUUUAUUCUCAGCUUGGCAGGACUUAUGCACUCCCCAGUUGGUUGGUAUGGGUAGGAUGUAAAGUUUAGCACACAACUUCCUGCAGUUAGUCAUGCAUGCAUGAAAUUGUUACGCUGCAACUCAAUUGAGUUCGAUCAAGAACUCUUAUAUAUAUGGACAUAGCAUAUAUGGACCACUGAUGUUAAUUGUUUGAUGAAAGUUUAAUAGAAAUAGUAUCGUCCUAUAUAUGGACCAAAUAUGCAUAUAUAGUAUUACAUACCUCACAAAAUGUGUGUGUAAUGACCAUUUACCUCUUCAAAAGCUCCCCAUAAUAGACAAACCCCAUCUUAUAUAUCAAACAAAUAUGAUAUGUGAAUAACGACAAGCUAACUAAAGAGAACUUUUAUCGAACAAAUAAAACGCAAAAUUAAUUUUUGUCGAAAGAUAACAUAUAGCUAGCUUGUUUCGAACAUGCUACUCGAUAUAAUUUGAUCUCAUGCCAAAGUCUAAUUGAGCAAACAGAUAAACCAACCUGAGCCAUCAUCGGGUGACAAAGAUAGUGAAAGGGCUUGGACAAGAAAAGUGGCAAUGAACAAAAUCGUGAAGUGUCUUGCUGACGUCAUAUGCCCCUAAACCCUAGAUCAUAUCAAUGCCCAUUCGAAAGAAAACGCUAGCUGUUUUGAUUAGUAAGUGAGAGAUACACAAUGCAACGAAACUUUUCAAAGGAAAUGAUGGAUUUGAAUACUUAUAGAAGCACUCUAAAUCCUUGAUGUCAUCGAUGAGCUAGAUAAACAAAUUAAUAAGAAGCAUAUUCUAGAGGUCCUCUUAUAACUUGGUUCUUACAGCUAGCUCUUGCAACCUUGUGAUAUCCGGUUGGGAUUUGAUCGUGUACUUGAUCGAGCCCUUUGAUUGUAGAGAGAUGCAAAGGAAUUUUGAAUAACAAUUAAGAAAACCACCCACUAGGGGAAUAGCUACAAAGGAAUUUGCAUAUAAAAAUGUUGGAACCAAUAGUGUAGAUCCUUAAACACAUCGCCGCAUCGCUGUAGUAUGAAAUAUAGACAUACAAUCAUAUAUUAUCUGUUAUUUGGUCUUUUUUAUUUUUAUUUUUUUAUAUUUUUUUAAUGCUUGUCAUGCCUGGUCUUGGAUGGAUGAAGAAUAACGAGUAAAAAAGGAAGGUUGGAUUGUGUCUUGUUCUCUUGACAAGCCGACCAUUAUGCUCUUUUGUUUUUUUUUUUUUUUUUUUUUUUCCUAGCCUUCAAAAAUUUCAAAGAAGGAUAGCAUGGAGUCAUGGACCAUACUGGCCAUUUUCUUGAGCUUCUAGCUACUCGAUCUUAUAUAUCCUCCAUUUUUGGUUGCCGGAUUGAGUAUUGUGUCAUGAUUGGGAUUUGGUGGUAGUCUUGACUCUUGAUCAUUGUGAGUUUCUAAGGCGGUCUAAUAAGACGUGUAAAUCAAAUGAUGAUCAUCCAUUAAUUUUUAUUUCAAGUAAUGUUCUUUUGGAUCUUGAGGAAUAAACAUAGGUAGUUAACUAGACUUAGGCUUAUAAGUCUGUCAAUUGGCUAAGGGGGUUGAUUUGGAGACUCCAACCAUCUCAUAUAGGAAAUGAGUAUCCGUUGUUAAUUCGUGUAUAAAAAAACUUGGCCAAGUUCAUUCUAAUACAUAAUCUUGAUCCGUUCAACCAAACAGAAAACACACAAAAAAUAUUUUGAAUUGAUACAUGCAAAGAUAUAACAUAUACGUCAAUCCCUUUAUAUUUUUCUUUGGUUACAUGUUUUUAAUAACUCUUUCCUUGAAUGGUUGGACCAAAAAUAAAAAUCUAGAAAAAAAAAAAUAUUUUUAGUACACAACAUGUAUUUUUUAAGAAUAGAAAAGAUAAAAAAAUAAUUAAAUGGAAAAGAAAAAGAAUAAAAGAAAAAGCCCAAUUGGAUACGUCACGGCCCUGGUUUCCACACGAUUGCUACUCUCUUAUCCAACAAAAACUUUGGCGCCCUUCUCUUCUCGUCCUUCCUCUCUUUGCCUGCGUCGUCCUUUUGUGCAUACUUUGUCCUUCCCUUCAUUUCACUCCCUGCAAACCAAGAUAAGCUCCUGCUGCCAUGCGCGUACUCUUCUCCUCCAACUCACCCCAAGGUACUCUCUCUCUCUUUCUAUCCCUAUCUUUAUAUCCUAAUAUCCUAUAUAUGUGUUAUAUAUGAACCCAAUAUUGCAACAUUGCUUAGAAUCGACUCACUUUCUAGUCCUACCGAACUUUCAUGUCUUAUAUUGGGUAAUGAAAGUUUCAGGUGUUGGGUUUAGUUUUACACAAGAGUAUGUUGGAGAAUUCAUUACUUGACAGUAGUCACUAGUAAAGUUUGAGAAUUUAGUGUUGAUUCAUUUAUCUGUAUUAUUUGGUAUUGACAUAAAUAGGCAAAGUUAUCUUCUUUGCAUCUGGUAUCAAGAUUUAUGAGGUUUUUAUGUGCUUUUUCAUUUGAAUAUUGUAAGGAAAAUGACUUAUGUAUAGUGCAAAAUGCCAUCUAGAUCUUCUGUCCAUUGGAACAAUCGGAUGAUUGGAUCAUCGUUCUCGGAAAACAACUAAGGUAAGAUCAAUUUUUCAUUUUUUUAGUUACCUUUGUUCAAUCAAUUGUAUCAAAAUAAUUGUGGGAAUGGAGUUCUCAUUAUGUGCAUACUAUGCAAAACAAGAGAAUGACUACCAACUCAUAUGAUGAACUGUGAUCAGGUCUGAAUUGAAGUAUGGCACUGGCCGCGCGUUCAAUCUCCCUGUUCCAUAAUGAUAGUAUUGGCAGUACAUGUAUGAGGUUGGGAUUUACAAGUGAAGAAAGGUUUCAGAAGAGAAGGGUGGUUGAUUUUCAAGUGGUUGUGAAAUUUUGUCCCAAUAGCAGAAAAUCAAGAUACUCCCAAUUCAUUAGUUCUGAUAGAAACUCUUCUGGUUUGGGGUCGAAAUGGUCUUCUAUGCUCUCUAGGAGGACUGAGAAGGCCUUUUCAAAAAGGGGAACAAGAAGUAGUGAAAUUGAGGUAACUUGCACAAUGCAUCUGCAUUUGGUUUUUCUGUUCUAAAUUUCUAACUCAGCUAGUGAUUGAUGAUUUGUUUUCCUUCGUAUAUGAAGACGAAACAGGUGAUUAAUGUUAUACUUGAAGAAAUAUCAAGUCUCGUUAGAGAGUGGAGUCAGUUACACUUCUUGAAAGUAGCCGGUUUACUGGUAUGCGCUCUCAUGGUGAUACCUUCAGCCAAUGCUGUUGAUGCUCUCAAAACUUGUUCCUGCUUACUUAAGGAAUGCAGGUAAUGCAAUCAGUCAGCUUUUUAAACAAGUCUGCGGUUCUUUUCUUUUUCUUUUCCUUAAUUUGAUCACUGGAACAUUUGUUCAUGUUAGGGUAGAACUUGCAAAGUGCAUUGCAAACCCGUCCUGUGCUGCCAAUGUAGCUUGUCUGCAAACUUGUAAUAAUCGUCCUGAUGAGACAGAAUGCCAGGUUAGGUUUGUUUCAUAUGUAUCUCUAUCUUAAUCAAUUUCAAAGUGCCAAACGCUAUAGGAUGGAAAAUCUGAUAUGUCAUAUAUGUCUUUCUUGUUCCUUAUUGCAGAUUAAAUGCGGAGACCUGUUUGAGAACAGUGUCGUGGAUGAAUUUAAUGAAUGUGCGGUGUCACGAAAGAAGUGUGUACCUAUGAAAUCCGACGUGGGAGAAUUUCCUAUCCCAGAUCCUUCUGCUCUUGUUCAAAGCUUUGAUAUGGAAAAGUUUAAUGGGAAAUGGUUCAUCACUAGUGGCUUGAAUCCUACCUUUGAUGCUUUUGAUUGCCAAGUGCAUGACUUCCAUACAGAAUCUGGCAGACUUAUAGGAAAUUUAUCUUGGAGAAUAAGAACCCCUGAUGGUGGAUUUUUCACCCGAACAGCUGUUCAGAAGUUUGUGCAAGAUCCAAACCAGCCUGGCAUACUAUACAAUCAUGACAAUGAUUAUCUUCACUAUCAAGAUGACUGGUAAAUUCAUGUCACAUGUAUACCUUAUUUUUUUGUUCAAUGUGCAUUUCUCUAUCACCUCAAAACAUUAACAGAGAUAUGAACAUGACUUGUGCAGGUACAUUCUAUCUUCGAAGAUAGAGAAUAAACCGGAUGACUAUAUAUUUGUAUACUACCGUGGCAAGAAUGAUGCGUGGGACGGAUACGGUGGUUCUGUGAUAUAUACAAGGAAUUCAGUUUUGCCACAAAGCAUUGUUCCUGAACUUGAAAAAGCAGCUGCGAACGUGGGACGAGACUUCAGCAAGUUCAUCAAAACUGAUAAUACUUGCGGGCCUGAACCUCCACUUGUAGAGAGGUUGGAGAAGAAACUUGAGGAAGGGGAGAGGACCAUUAUAGAGGAGGUUGAACAGAUAGAAGGGGAGGUGCAGAAGGCUGAACAGACUGAGCUGUCAUUGUUUCAAAGGUUAGCAGAAGGGUUUAAUGAGAGGUUAGCAAAAGGGUUUAAUGAGAUUAAACAAGAUGAGGAGAACUUCUUGAGAGAGCUUUCCAAAGAAGAGAUGGAUAUAUUGAGCGAGCUCAAAAUGGAAGCAACCGAAGUAGGAAAGCUUUUCGGACGAACACUUCCUCUUCGGAAGCUAAGGUAGUCCAACACUGAAAGAUCAUAGGUUUCUUGGUUACUUAUACCAUACUGUUAUUCAUAUAUAUUUUUUGCAGAAUGUAAGCUGAUGCAAAAAGCUAUAUUUGCUUUCACAAUCAAAUAUAAAAGUCUUCUACUUUUGUUUCUGAGUAUCAAAAUUUACAAGAGUUUACUCUAGUCAACUGAUCCCACAGUUUGACGACUAUAUUCAUAAAACUCAUGAAGGUAAGAGUAGUGGGUAAACUAUAAUAACAGAAAUUCCCUUGCCAAUUUACUAGUGGUCCAUUGCCGUCUCAGUAAUCUGGCUCAGGACCAAGGGUUAAUGCCUCUCACGAUUUUUGUAAGUUUUCUUUGUUUCUCUAAGUUUUAAUGUUACAUUGACAUUGAAGAAAAGAGAUGAAAUCACACAAGAAGACCUGAAAGUUGAGUAUAAGAAAUGUUGAAGAAAAAAAAAAAAAAAAAAAACAGAGAGAAGAGAACCUCAUCAUACAAUUCUGGCCCCAAGUCUUGAUUCCGCUCUUUAGACAUGAAUGCUUCUUCUUUGGUGUCUCUGAGGGACAAAAGCCUUACAUGGCUCAUCAUACAAAAUUAGAAAUGGAAUGCAUGUAUGUGCAAGGAAGGACAAUCUAGUGACCAAUCUUUCUAGGUGGAACAUUCAUUGAUUCAGGUUGCCCUGCGGCUGGUGGUGCGGUCCAAGAAAUUGACAGAUUUAGAGUUUCCAUUUGUUGAUUCUGCGCUCGUAAUUCCUCCAAUUGUGACAGUAGUCUCUUCUUUUUGUGGUACUCUAUUGUUGCUAUGAGAAAUACCUGCUUCGUUGGAUUCUUCACUGUUGCUUCUAGAAGUAGCACUUCCAUAUUUAUCUUGGCUGAAACUAGUACCUUGAUCACUGUUGCUCUUGCUUUUACUUCUUUGGUCACCUGAAGAAGCGGCAUCGUCUCUCUCAAAUGAAUGCCAUUCUUUGGAGUCAACACCACUUAGUUGACGCAAAUUUUGGUCAUAAACAUCCUUAUUUGAGUUGUCAUUAGCAUAAUGGCGGCGGCUAUUGUGUGCACUUCUGAUACUAUCACUGUCUGAAGCCUCCUCAUUGCUCUCAUCAUCGUCGGAAAGACUGUCAGAUUCAGAGUUACCAUCCUGGAUUGUAUAAGCUGGAACAGGAGCAGGAGUAGCCUCAGGAGGAGGCGGACUUGUUGAAAGAAAACUUAGAGUUGUUACAACAUCACUCAUGAAGGGCCGGACUGAUGGCUCCUCUUGCAGGCACAUUGCUGCUAUCGCAACAGCCUGAUUUAGUUCCUUCUCCGGAAAUUGCUUGUUAAGAGAAUGAUCGGCCAUAUCUGGAUAUUUUUUUGGGUCCCUGAAUAAGGGUUGUGCCUGCUCACACGUACAAACCAGAACAAAGUCACAUUAAAUUUGAUAUUCAUAUUCCUGUAAGGUCACACUAUCACCUGUAAUGAGAAGUUAUUUUACCCAAGCAACUAGGUUUUGCUCAUCAUUUGCUCUUGUAGUGUCAAUGGCUCUUCUUCCAGUAAUUAGCUCCAGAAGAAUAACUCCGAAGCUGUAUACAUCCGAUUUCAUUGUGACUUCACCAGUUCUCGAGUACUCUGGAGCACAGAAACCAUAGGCGCCCAUCAGCCUUGAUGGUCCAUGCAUCCUAUCUCCGGCAUUGCCAAGCUUGGCAAGUCCAACAUCCGAGAUCUUUGGAUUGAAUUCUUCAUCUAACAAGAUAUUUGAAGAUUUGAAGUCCCUAUAUAUAACGGGUGGAUUGGCCUUCUCAUGCAAGUACUCCAAUCCCAGAGCAGCACCAUAAGCUAUUUUAAUCCUCGUGUACCAAUCUAAAGUCAUUUUACCUGCUUGAUUAUCUGCACAUAACUAUUGAGGUCAAAUACAUACUCAUCAUGAUACAAACGGAACAAAUGAAAUAGUCCUAAAUCAAGAAAAAGUAGCAGAAAAGAGGAUGCUAUGUACCAAGAACUCGGUCUUCUAGAGUGCCGCCUGAUAUGAAUUCGUGGACCAAAAGCCUUUGAUCUCCAUCGGCACAAUAUCCAAUAAGAUUAACUAAGUUUGGAUGGUGUAGGAGGCUCAGUGUCAAAACCUCUCCCAGAAAUUCCUUGUUUCCAUGCAUUCCAUUUCUGUCGAGUUGCUUCACAGCCACCACCUACAAACAAGAUAGGAAAACAAACCUUAUAAGUACAUCAACAAGUCUUCAUGAAAAAAAGAAACCAACAUGAAAGAACAACUUGCAUUGUGUACACUCAUAGAUUGAAAACAAAGUAAGAGUCUUUCUAACCUGCCCACUCGACUGAAGAGUUCCCUUAUAAACUCUUCCGAACCCACCUUCUCCUAGAAGGCACUCCUGACGGAAGUUCUUUGUUGCUGUUGCUAGCUCACGGAAAGUGAAACUCUUUGCAUUGAUUUGUGAUAUGUCAACUUCCACAUGCGAGUGUGACCGCUGUUUUGUGUGUGUUGAGUGCGAGUGUGAGUGUGUUGAGUGUGUUGAGUGUGUCACAUAAUGCGUCUCAGCAGGUCUUUGUUUUUUCAUUUCUGCAGACAAAGACAGUAAUUUGUAAGGAGCAUGCAGGAAGACUAGUAUAACAUAAAGGGAAUGAAGUCCUUCUACCAGCAUUAUGAAUCACAGACAAGGAGAGGGAUUAACAUUAUUUAUCAAAUUCUUUUCUGUCUUGCAUUAUGAAUCACAUAUAUAUUUAUCAAAGAAGAUUUAUGUCUACAACCAUGCCUUUGAUAUGUUAAACAUUAUUGAUAAUCUCAUUGGCUUUUGAAUCUAAAUUUUAUUCCUUGAAAACAUAUAUGAUGCCAUUUCACAUUGUAGUUGAGACAAAAUUGAUUUAGGGUUUACACACGAGAUUAUUACUUUUUGGGGUAACUUACCAAUGAGAUUAUGAUAUCAUCAGAAGUAACCAAUACUUCAAGAGAAAAAAAAAACUUACCCUGUUCAACAGGGGGUGCAGAAGCGUGAUCUACCCUCCUGUGACUUGAUCUCUUACUUCUCUGUGAGCCAAAACACGGAAAACAACUCAUCUCGUCCACUCUAACAAGUUGAUGCUUUUCAAAACAAAACAAGCGUUAACAAUGCAAGAAAGUUUUCCUUCCAGUUUGACAAGAAAUGAGAGGAGGAGGAGGAGGAGGUGGAGGAGUGGGAUCAGGGUCCUCCAAGGAAAAUGAAGAAGGAGGACCCCGAAGGUGGGGCGAUGGCAGCUAAUUGCAGUUUGAAGCUACGGGGGAAAAAAAUCUGAAUCAUUAACAAACAAAGGAGAAGAGAACGAAUGGGAUUGCUAAGUUUUGGAAGGUACAAAAUGUGAGACUUUUCCUUAGACUUCUCGUCAGAAAAAGGUGGGAGAUGUGAGGGGGAUGCUUUGCCUUAUGAAAACAAAGAGAGCAAAUUGUGGGAAUGUAAUUGAAUUUCAGUUAGCAAUACAGGCUAUACAUGGAGGGUGUCCAACCAAUCGAGGAUGAAUAAUCUUUGACACCAGUUAUUUAGGGAUAUUGUUUUGUCUUAACACAUAACCAGCUCUAAAUUGUUCACUAUGUUGGUGUAUUCUAACAAAAUCUACUCUUCACACCUCACAAUGCUUAUAGAAGAUAACCUCUAUAUUCUAGCUGCCUCAAGUGUCUCAUUUGACUUGAUUUAUAAGCAAGAAAACAAUUAAUACAGAUGACUAGCUUAUUGAGUUAUAAACAUUGUAAAAAUAGUAAAGUAAAGUAAAUAAAUAAAUAAAAAUCUCAGCUGAUUUCACUGAACAGCCUCAGCUGCCAUUUGAAGGACAGUUGUAAACUUCAACCCAGAAGUUCACAACCCUCUGUCAUUCACUUCCAAGAAUCAUCCUCAGAGAUGUUACAUAUGCACCUAGUUUCAAAAACUUCAAACUUCAUCACUACUGUUUUUAUUUUAGGCAAUCAGACAGAGAAAGGCAACUCUUAACAGAAAUUGACAUAUAUGAAUCACCUAAAUGAAGAAAAGAAGACAAAACUUUGAUAUGGUACUUAUAUUGAAGUAUGAAUGAUGGAUUACAUAAUUGAGUAUAUGGCUUUCAUUCGAGAUCAUACGGUUUCCUUAAGGUUUUUAGACCCACAAGGCCGCAAUAUAUAUAUGUGUGUAUAUAUAAUAAAAUCCAGAUCGAGGAAUAUUUCUUGUGUCAUGGCCGUCUAACCACUUGGAAGAGGACACAUGGUAAAAAUAAGAAUUUAUCAUCGACUUCACCAGCUCAUGAUUACAACGAUUUCCUUAAGGUCUAAGUUUAAUUCCAGUCUUCUCCUCUCAAAAUAGUCACUAUAAUUCAACCCACCUCCCCUAAGGCUCUUCCUAUAACUCUACAAGUUGGUCCAAAGCAAAACCAGUUCAUCAAUCAUCACCAAACACAGUGAAGGAGGAGAAGGAUAAAGAGCAGGAGGAAAAACAAUCACCUGCGGCGCAGUGAUGAUGGAUCUGCUGGAGUUGCCGGAGGGUUGCAUAGCCCAUAUCAUAUCGUUGACGACUCCUCGAGAUGCUUGCCGGCUGUCUUUGCUUUCUAAGCUUUUCGGGUCAGCUGCCGAUUCCGACGCCGUUUGGGAUAAGUUCCUUCCGCCUGAGACACGCACCUUGUCCCCAGAGGAGCUUGGGGUACUUGCCGGCAGAACCAAAAAGGAGGUUUUCCUCGCUCUCUGCCCUGUCCUCUUCAGGGAGGGUAAACUGGUAAAUUCCUCAACCUCCCUUUUGAUUCUUGAGGAACAUGAACAUGUUUUUAUGAUUCAGUGAUUUUGAUGCUGUUAAUGAUAUUGACCAAAAUAUAAUGAUCGAUUUCAUCUGAAUGUUCUUUUGUUUAUUAAUUGCUGUCAUGUAGAGCUUUUCACUAGACAAAUGGAGUGGGAAAAAAUGUUACAUGAUUUCUGCAAGAGAGCUUGGUAUUGCCUGGGGCAACACUCCGAUGUAUUGGAGAUGGAUUUCUGAUCCUGAAUCCAGGUCUGGAAUUUUUGUCUUGAAUGUUUUUUUGUAUGCAUUAAGAUGGAUAUACAUGUUGGUUAUUAUUUGGUUAUAGAUUUUGGUCGUUAUUAGGGAUUAAGACUAGAUAGUCUUAUGGGUUGUAUAAUGUGUAUGUGUAUGUAACUAUUGACAGGUUUGCAGAGGUGGCUGAGCUUCUUGAUGUUUGCUGGCUUGAAAUCCAUGGGAAACUUGAGACACGUCUGCUGUCCCCAUCCACUAUGUACAAAGGUUACCUUGUGUUCAAGUUUACUGCACAACCUUCUGGAUUUGUAGACCUAGAGGCGGAGGUCACUAUGGGUCUUGACUCUCUUGAGGGAGGAGAAAUUAUUAACCGGACUGAGUUUCUGCACAGUGGAGUGAGAUCCGACGGGUGGUUGGAGAUUGAGAUGGGUGAGUUUUACUGUGUAGGGGGAUCAGAAGAUGGGAUGUUGAAAAUGCGUUGUUUGGCAAAUGGGGCGGGUCAUUGGAAGAGAGGUCUUAUUGUUCAAGGCAUUGAGGUCCGCCCCAAGAGGGAGUACUAGUAGAAUUUGAUCGUCUCAAAGUUGAUUCUCGUUUGUAACAUGUUUUAACAUAGCAAUUUUCUGCAAUAUGUUAAAGGUUCAAUGAAUCGUGCAAAUCGCUUAUGCUAUAUUGUGAAAAUCGGUACUUCAACUAUAAUUUGAGUCAUUGGCCAAUUUGUUAAAUUCAUAUCUCAUUUUUUCUGUCAUACUUGAAUUAUAGACCUGGAAAAGAAGUUUAAAAUUGAAACACCAGAUGAACCUAGGAAAAAUUUAGUACAUUGUAUACAACUUGAAGAGUUCUUAUGUGAUAUGAUAAUGUGGAUGAUGUAGUUUUGUUGAACGUAACAAAUUCAGAACCGGAUUUUUUGUUCAUCUUUCUUUUUGAAGUGGGAUUUCAUAACCAAAGCUUGAUUAAUGGCAGGAAACGGGAGAAACCUUCUUCAAUCUGAGCAAUGAAGAAACCUUCUUUGUGUGUUUAAGCUCUUCAUUUUUUUUCAACUGGUUUUCAGGAAUUACUCACUGUCUAACUCGUGGGCGAACACACGAAGGAGAUCGGUCAGUUGGCCUAUGACUACGCCUUUGAAGGCCGUCCUGCUCCUCUCACGGCUCUACUGAACGUGGCCGCUGAUAAAGUCAAUGAUUCUGUCGUGGAGCGGCCGGAUUUUAGGUCGGGGUUUAAGGAGAAGGCGACCAUUACGAAUGGCUUAUUAGGGAGGCUUUGGAUCUGGGCGUGGGGAGCGAAAAGUCGGAGAGGAGGAAGCUAUGAUAGAGCUGCUCCAGCUUUUCGGAGCUGUUGCUCACAGCGGUGGUGGGGAGAAGAGGAAGAAGAAGAAGAAGAAGUAGAAGAAGAAGAAGAAGGUGACUUCUUCGCCACUCAUCCGUGCAGCUCAGGUGAGCCUCCAUUCUUCUGUUCAGUUCAGUUUUCAGUAAUAAUCAGAGAGGAAAACAAUGGUUUCAUCAUAAUUUCCAAAUGUCUUGUGCUAAAAAUCUCCUUUUUGCAUUGGUUUCUGAUUUGGAUGAUCCAAUUGAAUUGAAGUCACUGGUAGAUGCAACUGGCUUUUUUUACUCUCUCUCUCUCUCUCUCUUUUGUGUUGGGAUUGGGUCCCUCUGGCCUAAUGUGGUGGUGUUGUUUUCUUGCUUUUGUUUAAUACUGGUUGCACUUUCACAUUCCGUAAUGUCUCCAAAGUGGAAAUUGGAAACAAUCUACUACUAUGUUAGAACAAAUCAGGAAAUACACGUAGUUGUUGCAUAGAUACAUAGUUAAUCCAUACUGGUAGCUUCUGAAGACAGUGUAGCAAGAAGAAAGUACACAUAGUUGUUGCAUGGGAACAAAUUUGUUGUCUAGAGCUCUGCUUUUUAAAGUGCGAACAAUUAUCAUAUACACUGUUUUAUAUCAAUGUAGCCUUGGGAUCAUCUUAUGAUACGUGACCAUAAUUUGAUAAAUUGCUGAUAGGGAGGAGAUGAAGCUAUUGUUCAGCUGCUCCUGAAGACAAACACAGACGUUAAUGAUGCUGAUGCAAAUGGCGAUACUGCUCUUCAUUGGACCCUUAAAUUGUCUAGAUUUUUUCCUCAACAUAUCAGGUCUCUCUCUCUCUCAGACACAUGUGCGCACACACACCGAUGCAUAUGGUUUAAUCAACUUACUAACUCUGUAUUCUUUCAAUCCCAGAAUUCUGUGGCUUCUUCUUGAGCAUGGCACUCAUGUACACCAACGAAAUAAGUUGGGGUUGACAGCAUUUGAUAUUGCUGCUGGUAAUGGUAAUUCAGAGGCCCUUGAGGUACAAUAUGUUAUCUCUUCUACCUCUCCAAUUUUCUUAAUGAGUCAACAUUCUUGGCAUCCUGAUAAACAAGAGCACACAUUAUUUUUUCUUGAAUCUUAGGAGCGCUGACUUUGAGGCAUGGACAGGUUCUUCUGUUGGGAGACCUGGAUGGGAAGCACUAUAUUACAGGAAUGAAAGAAACCCCCCUGUCUGUGAAGAAUAGGAGCGAGGAGUGUGCUGAGCUUCUUUUGACUUGGGGAGCAAAUAGUGAAGUCCCUCAGCAGUGGUAAGGAACAUCAAAAAAUUUCUCCAGUUCAAUCAUGUUACAUCUUUACAGUAGGUGGGUUCUAGAGCCUCUUUAGUUGAAACUUUGAAUGCUAACAUAUCUUUUGUGCAUGUGCCUUCAUGAAUUUCUGCAAAACUGUUAAAAUACCUGUAGGCAAAGAGCUAUAGACUUGGCAACCUCUCAAGCUAUGCGCAACAUAUUGCUGAGCCCCAGCACUGUUAAUUUUAGUAAGUUCAUUAUUAAAAUAUGUGGAAUAAAUGUAUCAGGCAACUGUACCCAUCUUUCUUUAUAUUUGAUUCAACUUCCCUAAUCACUGUGCAGAUAGCUCAAGCAACAAGGCGGAGGUUUAUAAGAACUUUGACUCUCAUCGAAAAUGUGUCAGAGGAGCUAAGUGCUUUUUUAUGCAAAUUGUGUGGAGGAGUCUCAGGAAGUAAAAGAGGGAGCAGACCAGAGCCAUUCCUUUGCCGCUAAACUACUCAAACGCAAAGUCUUUGUUGGAGGACUUCCUCCUUCAGUGGACUCUGGUAAUGCACCUAUGAACUUUUAUCAAAUCAAUAUAAGUUGUAUUAGUUAAGAUGAUCUAGCAUGAUCAACCAUCUAAGUAACAGACAUACAGCUUUUUUUUUUUUUUGACUAACAUAAUUAUAUGUUUACCAUGUUUCAUUCAUUAGGUGGGCUAAAUAAAAAAAAGAAUUAGAGGGUUCAUUAAAAUUAUCUUCUUUUGAAGAUACCUUUUCGCACGAACCCAGCCAAUAGGAUGAAAUUAAAAGAGUUCCACAUCAUGAACUAUGUACCGCGCACAUCACUUAGAAGGGCUCUAGAAAGCAACAUAGGAAGAAAUAAAGAAAUAGAAUAUGAAAAAUAUAAGGUAAUGAAAGAGGGUCAUAUUCUAUUUGUACUGUAUCUGAGAUCAAUCUUAGCUAUUACCGCCCUUCAACCCCCCUAGACUUGGACUAUUUUUUGGUCUUUCAACUAAACAAUUGUAAUUUACUCUUUCGACUAUUGUGACGCAGAUGAUCUGGGAAAGUUCUGUGAAAAGUUUGGAUCAGUAGAAGAUGCUAUUGUGAUUGUGACUCAAAUUAAAAACAAGAUACAAUCUCGAGGCUUUGGUUUUGUCACAUUUAGACAGGAGACAUCUGCUUCAGAAGCUAUGAAAGCACACUGUGUCACCAUGAGAGAGAAGACAGUUGAAAUAAGAAGUUUGGUUUCAAAAUUGGUUUUAGGAGUUGAGUUUGAGAACAUGUCACCUCAACAAGAAGAGGAGAAUGUCAGGGAAGGGGAUAGCCCUGGACAAGGUUCUUGGGAUGAUAGAUUAGUACUUGGACAACCAGCAGCGUGCUCCAUUGAACCUCAAGUAACCAAGUGCUCUGAUGACUCGAGCACUCCUACAUGGCUAAAAGUGGUUUCCUGGGUUCUUGCAAGGUCUGACAAAAAAUUAAAACUAUGCUCUCUCCUCUCUGAAAACUGAUUUCCUGGCCAAGUUUGGGUUAGAACUGGAUCAUUUGUCUGGGGGUCACUUCAUGCUCAGUAACUUUCUGAAACGUUUCUUCAAAAUAUGCACCCUUGAUAAGCUCCCCAUAUGCAAACGUGGAACGCACAUGGUCCUCCGAUCGAAGUUCUCUAAUCCCUAUCGCUGACUCAUCCAUACACGUACAACAUCUCAAACCAUUUAUAUGUCUGCAUUGAUCGAGAACGUUGGUGAUUGUCUUCUAAACCUCUCAAGUGGCGAUGUUGGUGACUUAAAAUGUCUUCAGAACUAUUCGAAGUGUUUCCAUGAUGUUUCAGUUGAUAAUAUUGUUGAUUUAAGGUGCCUUCAUGACCUUUCACAGCUUAAAGGGACCACUAAUGUAGGGUGGGUCUUAGAAGAUCGUGUUCUCGCUUGUUGUGAUUCAAGAAGCACCAUUGAUUGCGAAUUAAGUAUGUUUCACACUUUCAUUAUUAUUAUUAUUAUUUUUAAUUUGAGUUUAGGUUUUCUUUAUGAUUUUUUUUUGCAGAGACAGAUUCAAGGGUGAAAUUCACACUCGUCACCCAGCAUGUCCUGUCAACCAGGUGUGGUUCUAUAAAAGCAGUAAAACAAGUCUUGAGACAUAUGUCACAUUUUUCCAGGAAGAAGGCAAUCAGAGAGGAAACACAUCGUCAGCAUGUAAAGAGAGUUGCUUGGACCGGGCGUUUGAUGGGAAGAGAAGUUGACGCCAUUUUUUUUAUACCUUGAUUGUCCACCAAAGAUUAAGAAUACCGAGUUUUUGGCGUCAACUUCUCUCCCCAUCAAAUGCCCAGUCCAAGUAACUCUCUACAUGCUGACGAUGUGUUCCCUCUCUGACCGCCUUCUUCUUCCUGGACGAAUGUGACAUAUGCCUCAGGACUUGUUUUACUGCUUUUAUAGAACCACACCUGGUUGACAGGACAUGCUAGGUGACGAGUGUGAAUUUCACCCUUGAAUCUGUCUCUGAAAAAAAAAAUCAUAAAGAAAACCUAAACUCAAAUUAAAAAUAAUAAUGAAAGUGUGAAACAUACUUAAUUCGCAAUCAAUGGUGCUUCUUGAAUCACAACAAGCGAGAACACGAUCUUCUAAGACCCACGCGACAUUAGUGGUCCGUUUAAGCUGUGAAAGGUCAUGAAGGCACCUUAAAUCAACAAUACUAUCAACUGAAACGUCUUGGAAACACUUCGAAUAGUCCUAAAGACAUUUUAAGUCACCAGCAUCGCCACUUGAGAGGUUUAGAAGACAAUCACAAACGUUCUCGAUCAACGCAGACAUAUAAAUGGUUUGAGAUGUUGUAAGUGUAUGGAUAAGGACUAGAGAACUUCGACCGGAGGACCAUGUGCGUUCCACGUUUGCAUAUGGGGAGCUUAUCAAGGGUGCAUAUUUUGAAGAAACGUUUCAGAAAGUUACUGAGCAUGGAGUAACCGUCAGACAAAUAAUCCAGUUCUAACCCAAACUUGGCCAGGAAAUCAGUUUUCUGAGAGGAGAGAGCAUAGUUUUGAUUUUUUGUGUCAGACCUUGCAAGAACCCAGGAAACCACUUUUAGCCAUGCAGGAGUGCUCGAGUCAUUAGAGCUCUUGAGGUUCAAUGGAGCACGCUGCUGGUUGUCCAAGUACUAAUCUAUCAUCCCAAGAACUCAGGGCUAUCACAUUCUCCUGUUCUUAUUGAGGUGACAUUUUCUCAAACGAAUUCUAGUUUUCUGGCGAGAUCGAUCUUGACCUUGUGUGAAGUUUUAGGACCGUCAAAUCAAUUCGGGGAAGGGAAAGUGGUCGGGGAUAUCUCUGUGUCCGCUCGGGUGCCUACCCGUCGUCGUCCAGUAACGGAGCGACGUCCACACUUUAAGCCCAGUGCAGACGUCUAGCCUGUAUAUAUAUAUGUUUAUAUUUAUAUAGCUUAAUAUAUUCUAAAGCAAUAAUAUCUUGAUGCAUAUUUAUAUCUUUACUGUGUAAGUAACAUUUGACAUGCGGUUACACUGCAAUCUAUGAGUCUCUUCCUUUUUGCAUAUAUAUGACAUCGCCGUUUAUAAUAAUGUGCUGCUAUCAUGCAUAUGUUUAUCAAGGGGGGACUCUUCUCUGGCAUUUAUAGGAAAGUUCAGCUAAUGCCACUGAUAAAGUUACAAAAGUAACGGUGAAGGUGAGGAAGAAUGCCCUGUUGAAGCUUUGAGGGUUCUGAAGUAUGGGGUGUCCCUGCACACGCUGGCAGAAAGCAGGUAUCUAUUUAUCAUUCGUUUGUUUGAUCAUUAAUUCAGUUCUAUUAUUGAUUUAUCGUGUACAACAUGACAUUUUUGAGAACCCUCAUUGUCAUAGAUGCAUACAUAUUAUUAUGUUUCACGUUCUUACACACUUGCUGUUUUAAUCAUUCACUUGUUUGGAAGUCAUUUUUUUAUUUUUAUUUGAAUGUGGUUUUGUUAAAGAUAAUUUCAUGUAGUCAUUCCUUUUCAUUCAAGGGUUACAACAUGCAAGGAUUUUUGACGUUCUGGCUCUUCUUUGUAUCAAAACGGUUUUACAUUUGACCUUUCAAAUUCUUAGUUUUUUUUUUCUUAACUAUCAAAUGGUAUUAGUGAAAAAACUUGCAUUAUUUUUUUUUUUUUUUUUGUAAAACGAAAAAACUUGUUUCUAAGAAAGAGUGAACGCUGAUCACUGAAUAUAAGUUUUCAGUUUAACAAUGAGACUAAUAAUGAUGUUCAAAUUUUGGAUUUACUGAUUAAUGUCCUGCACCAUUUACUGGCAGAUGGUUCAAUUGUCAUCAGCUUUUAGAUUAUAUACCAAAUUUGUGAAAUAGUUAUUUGUUGUUUUUGACAACAUUGAUCACAACUGUUAAACAUUUUGUAGAACUUAACUAAGAUUCCUAGACUUGACACACUCAUCAUGCAUAUUUUCUCUUUGUUGCUUAUAAUAGAGUAGGUCGGAUAUCCUAUCAUACUGACUUCAAUAACUUUGUGACAGAUCUUGCUAUUGUAGUUUUCUAAAUGGAUUUCGCGGUCAACGUUUUGGAGAACUUAACUAAGGUCCCUAGACUUGACACACUCAUCAUGCAUAUUUUCUCUUUGUUGCUUAUAGUAGAGUGUCAUAUAUCUUAUCUUACUAACUCCAAUUACUUUGUAACAGAUCUCGCUAUCGAAGUUUUCUGCAAUGAGACCACCCACAUUGAGUUCGCUGAAAGCUUGCUAACCUGCAUACAAAGUACUGCUUUAAGCAAGGAUGAAAUGCAUUGUAAAACAGAUAAACGGAGCUAUCAAGUUUUUGCGUACACUCUACCUGUACUGUAAAUUGAAUUGGUGAAAUUUAGUAACGCUCCAAAGGAAGCAGCCGAGGAUUUUGUUGAUUGCUUUUCCUCGGCAAUUGGUUUUAAUAUCAUAUUCCAACUCUGUUGGGGGAGGUCUUGACUUUAGCCCGAUUGGCACUCUAUGUUAUGUAUAUAUCACAGCAUUUUCUACUGGGAACUUGUAGGUUUGUUUGUAAUUGAAAAUCUGUCGCGACUGUUUAUGUAUCAUUCAAUUCCAACUUUCAAUUGCAGCAGCAACUUGAUUCAUUACUUGUGUCGUUAUCGGUGUGUAUAAUUUUGUUACCAAGGAGAAAGAGCUCUCACUCAAUGUGUUUCCUGUUGUUUGAUGUGUGCUUUUCUUUGGUAUCAUAUAGGGAAGCAUACAUAGAAAGCUCAUCCAUAUUCAUUUUGUUUCAGUAGUAUAUGUUGUGUACCCUUAAUUUACCGAUUCUUUUUCCUGGAAUAUGAUACUUCAUUGAUAAAAGCAAAGAGAUUACACAAUAUCCAUCGUAGAAAUCCUGCAGCCUGUUUGGCAAUUCUAUGUGCUGCAUAAUUGCAUCUUCUAUUAAACAUUUCUCGCCAUUACAAAUAAGCUGAUUCAUGUGAUACAAAAGCUAGCAUCUCAGGCCAAUAUGCCCAAACAUCUGCAGAUCAUUACAAAUGACUUUCAGAACAACCCUGAUAAAAGGUUUAUAAGAGCACCAUAAGACCACUUGUUACAACUUACAAGAGAAGUGAUUUAGUAAAUUUAGUUUUUACACCAUAACUUUUACAUAUGAACUCGAUCCGAUUAAAACGUACAGCGUGUCCACAGACUCCGACAUCUCCAGGACGACUCCGACCCUGCACCCCGGAGUUCUAGCUAGGGUAUAAUAACAGCUGUUGGUUGGUUGGUUUCUGUGCUAUAAUUCAUAGAGCUCUGAUUCGACAUUUAAACUUAAUGGUUUACUAUUUCAAUCAGGAUUUCUAACCUAGUUCCCUAAGUUUAAUUUUCCUGGUUCUAAUUAGGAUAAGAGCCUAUAUAAGCCACUAUAUAUGUUGUAUUCAAUUCAGAAAACACAGAGAUUUAAUUAGCGUUAAUGGAACCACUAACAAGCUUCUCUGCUACUGCAGACGACCACGAGACAGAAAAGACAAUUGAUCCACUUAACAAGGACUUGGAGGAGAAUUUGUUUAUCUCGGAUCUAUUUGAAGAGUCUGCUGAAGACAGUUAUUCAUAUGAAGAUUCAGAUGAAGAUACAGAUGAAGAUGUAUACGAUUUGCCCAAUGUAGAUGAUAUGUUUUAUGAUUAUUAUUCGGUUGAAGAAGAAACUGAUGAUGAAGAAGAAACCCCUCGAAAGGAGCCAUCUGUUUGUCAGGUUUGUUUGAAGGAGAAGGCACACUGGACAGGGUUGUGUCCCUUUCUGGAUUGUAUCCCAAACCCUAGGGACACAACUCUUGGUAAAAAGUAUAUAAUAGUUUGCCAGUGUUGCGGUGAGGGUGGUGAGGAGGAUCCCCACCCUGGAGAAAACUGGGUAGGACUAGCAAUAAGGGAUCCUGCUAGUGUUAGAUAUUAAUCCCACACCUGAUUGCUGCCCGAUUAUAACUAGCUACUCUGGAAGUUUCAACACCCCUAAAAUUGAGACGUGUAGAAUAGUGAAAUUAGGAGAGUGCCUUUCUAUAAACUUUAUCCUUUGUUUGAGAUGAAACUAAUAUUAUGAUGCAUGUAGAUCUGUAGAUCGAUGGACUCGCUGUGCUUUUUCUUUCUUUUUUUGAUUAGGGACUAGGGAGUGUGUGCUUUUGUAAGAACUUUUAUUCGAUAUUUGUUUUAUGUAUAGAACUACUUUCGUGUUGAUUUUGCAGUGUAGAAAGAGAACCAAAUUUUGAUGAAGGAUUUUAGAGAUAGGGUAUUGAAGAUUUGGAGAAGGAAAGACCAAGUGCAUUUUGAUUUUGUUCUUUAAAUAAUGGAAAAAAAGAAGCCUGAAGUAGAAGAGUAAAUGCGAAUAUGCAAUUGCUAGCUUGCAAUUUUGGUCCCUGAUGAACUAUGAACAUGUCAGGGAUGUGCACCAGCAGAACCCAAAUAUUUGAUUAAAUUUGUUAGCCCCAGAUCAGGUGAAGAUGAAGAGGAACAACCUGUAUGUGAGAUUUGUUUGAAGGAUAAGGCACACAUUUCAUUUUUGUGCCCCUUCCUGGAUUGUAUCCCAAACCCUAAGGAGACAACUCUUGGUGAAAACUGGGUAAUAGUUUGCUAGUGUUGCGGUAGGCGGGAUCCCUUCCACGGAGGAAACUGUGUAGGAUGAGCAAUAGAGGAUCCUGCUAGUGUGCUUUAUGUUAGUCUCAAACCUGAUUGUCCGGAUAUAACUUGCUACGAGGAUCUUGAAACACCCCUAACAUUGAGACGUGCAUAAACAUGAAACUAGGAGAGUGCCUUUCUAAGAAUCGUUAUCCUUUGUAUAGAAUAUGAAUCUAAUUUUUUUUUUCUUUGCUCUGAAGGAGUCUUGGCUCUUCAUGUUCCUCUUUUCUUCUUGUCUUUUUGGGUUCAAUAAACCCCCUUCGGAAAAAAUAAAAAUAAAAACCUAACAUCCUUUCAGCAAAGGAAGGGGUGUUUACUUGCAUUAGAUUUUUUUUUCUCUUUUUUUUGGUUGCGACCAGAUAUACUUGCGUUAGAUUCAACAACACUGCAUGUGUAGCGUUGUAGCAUGAGCUUAUCAAGUUGGUAUUGGAUAAUCUUAAAAAAAAAUUGUGGUAAAAUAAACAGAUAUGUGUUUAUUACGUGUUCAACUUCAUACAAGAAUAAUUCUUUAAACUGAGAAAUUUAUGUCAUGUUCAAAAAAAAAAAAAUGAGAAAUUUAUGGAGAAAUACCAAUUUAGAUUUGCAUUUUCAGAUAAAUGAGUAUCAUACGUACAAAUUAGGAAUCUGCUAUAUGCAAGAUAAGCUCUGUGCCUCUCUCAAGAAGAAUAAUGACGUACUGACGGUGUGAUAAACAAGGAUCCUAACAGGCUGAGGGUACGUGAUGAACAAUGAGGACUGAUGAGGACUAGGAGUAAUCGAUCACAUUGUAUCGCCGGAUCGAUCUGCACUGCAUGAGUUUUCCGACGUCCUCUAAUUCGAGUUGGCCGCCUUAUUGACCUGCCGGAUGAUGAAACCCCCAUUCCUAGUUCAAUAUCAAGUUAUUUUGCUCAACUUAGCUAUUAGCAAAAGAGUAGCCAGGACUACUUUUACCAUCAUUUGUUGUUAAUCGAAGUCCUAAUCUUCCUUCCUUUCUUUCUUUUUUUGAGGAAACAAAUUGAGCAUAUGGGAUUGUGGGAGGUGAAGUGGAAAGUCGGAACAGAUUGCACAGGUGCGUUUCCGACGUACUCAAAGGAAAAAAGGAUAGAGAAUGAAAAAGAUUAAGGAACACAAAGACUGCGACUUGCGUGGCCGCUAUGUUUGCCGUUCGAGUGUUUGAAAAAGAGCUCGAACAUGCACACCAUAUAGUUGACACAUACAAAGUGUCUCCUCCACACGUCGAAAUACAAUCCCCCUCUAUAUUUUAAUCGCAUCUUUACUAUUAGAAAGCCGUGGCUUUGGUGAAGCAUUUUUUCAAAUUGCCCAAAAAACUAAGGUAGCAAAAAGAUCUCAAAGAAAUAAAAAUAAAAGUACUAUGGGCUUGAUUGUAAAACGUACACCACUGAAAUUCAAAUGAGAAUAAAAAGGUCGUAGUAAUUUUAUCUCAUUUUUGUUAGAGCACGCAGUUAUCUUAAGAAAAGAAAAAAAAAAGAUUAACUUUAUCUAACGGUAAGAUGGAGCAGUUCAAGUAUAUUUUUUUCAAUUUCUAAUCCCCGUACAGAUGCACACAGAUAAGAGGCUAGUCACCCAAAAAUUACCGUUGGUGAAAUCAAGAUGAAACCCUAGAAUUUACUCAUUGCGCGCAAUCUUCACCGUCAUACAUAGAGUUUAGAUACGUGGCAGGCUUGACUCGAUGACACGUCCUUUGUCGUCUUGUACAGGAGAGUCUACGACGUUGCAAGCUUCAUCACCAAUGGUGACGAGGCCCUCAUGAAGGUCGACUUCUUCUUUUUCUUCAAGGAAUCACAGAUUUUUUUUUUUUUUAAACAGUGGAUUAUUCUCGUAUUUUCUUUUAUCUUCGAGAAAAAUGUAGAAGAAAAAACCCACCAUUGUUGCACGUUGUUGGUUUCUACAUGCAGUAGUAACAAGAUCUCUGCCAGACAUUAAGUACAGGGCUGCACAUGUAAAGGAAGAAGAGAGAAUGGAUUCUGAUGCAAAAGGAUACAACUUUUAUAGCAAUUAUUAGCUGUAGCUAAUAAUAAAAAUGAUUCCCAUAUAGAUAUUGGGAAAAGAUCUGACGGCUUUUCUCAGAUAACCAAAAACUUAACCGCUAAGUUUCAUCUCUAUAAAAAAACCUCCAAAAAAACCAGACCCCAAACACUUCCACACAAAUCCAUGCCGCCACAAACUCACCAAGGAAGAACAGCCACAACAGGAACAAGACCCCACCAAGUAAAACAGAGCAAGAAGAAAACCAUGCGUAACGAUGAAGACGAUGAUCAAGGGGGAGGAGGGAUCACAUGCGGCGCUGUGACGGUGGAGCUGGAUCUGCAGGAUUUGCCGGAGGGAUGCAUAGCCAACGUCAUCUCUCUGACGACUCCUCCCGAUGCGUGCCGGCUGUCGUCGGUUUCCAGGAGUUUCCGGUCGGCCGCCGAGUCCGACGCCGUUUGGAGCAAGUUCCUGCCGCCGGACAUUCCCACUAACCUGUCUCACUCGGGGCCUGAUGCCCCCAAUUGCCGAUCCAAAUCCAAGGAGUUGUACCUCGCUCUCUGCCACGAUCCGGUGCUCAUCGACGAGGGCAAAAUGGUAAAUUCACUACACCGGGUUGCUACGGUGCCUUACUUUUUUAUGAACACUAAAACGUAACAUGUUUGGACUUGUGUUUGUGAUUGUGUUCGUGUUUGUACUAGCAUGAUACAUUGACAUGAAUUGUCGAAAUGAUUUGGUUUAUUCAUUGAUGUGGAUUGAAGGGUGUGUACCUUAGCAAAUUGAUAACAUAAUGGACAUUCUAUACAUUGUGAAUGUGCAUAUUUGUGCAGCCUUAGAUGUGACAAUAAUGGUGUACGAUGAUUAGAUUAGGUGGGGUCAAGAAUUCGAUUAUUGUUGAUGUAUAUAUUCUUGUGUGUCAUCAUUCAUCAAAUUGAAAUGAUCGAAUAGGGUUUCAGCUUGUUGCCAUUAGCUACAUAUGCUAUAUUUGAUAUGAUGGUGACUGUUCUUCACAUUGUGCAGAGCUUUUCACUAGACAAAUGGAGUGGGAAGAAGUGUUACAUGGUAGCUGCAAGAGCCCUUGAGAUUGUCUGGGCUGAUACUCCUAACUAUUGGAAAUGGAUUUCGAUGCCCGAUUCGAGGUCUGUAAAUUUAGUUUGUUCUUUUGUUUGAUUGUUAGUUAGUUGGUUGUUUUGAUUCGUACAAAUCUAACAUUGUUUUUGUAAUGUAAUCAAGCAAUAACAGGUUUGAAGAGGUUGCUGAGCUUGUUGGUGUUUGCUGGCUUGAUAUCCGUGGCAAAAUUGACAUACGCUUGCUGUCCCCCUCAACUAUGUACAAAGCUUACGUUGUGUUCAAGUCAACUGCAGCGGCUUAUGGGUUUGAGUAUCAACCUGCGGAGGUUAGCGUAGGUCUGGUUGGAGGAGCAGAACCCACAAAGCAGACUGUGUUUCUUGAUGCUGACAGAGGUCGGACUCAGAGCUACCAGAUUGUACCAAGGCGUGUUGGUAUUUCCAACAGAAGCCGCAUUUUGCCACGAGUGUCCCAGCCUAGGGAGAUCAAUGAUAAUCAAUACCCGAAGGACAGAGCAGACGGGUGGUUGGAGAUUGAGCUGGGUGAGUUCUUCUGUGAAGGAGGAGAAGAUGGGGAGUUGGAAAUGACUUGUUUGGAAACCAAGGGUGGUCAGUGGAAGGGUGGUCUUAUUGUUCAAGGCAUUGAGGUCAGGCCACAGAGGAAGUCCUAGCUAUAGUAGGAUUCAUCUGCUCGGAGGGUUUGAUUCUUUUUUUUUUUUUGGUGUUGAUAAUUCUGUAAGUUGAGAAAAGGAAAGAAAGGACUCCCUUUACAUUGUAAUUUGCUGCAAUUGAGAUUCAAUGAAUGAUGUGCAUCACUUUGUUGUGUGAAGAAUAAACGAUUAUAGUGUUGGUUUCUCGGAAUAUAGUAGUGCUUGUUCCUCAGUAUAUAAUAGUGUUUGGUUUCUACUUUCGACCGACCUCAUUUGUCAAGAAUCGAGUGUAACUGAACUUUUUAAGCUUGUAAGCUUAGAAGGUGGAAAUGGUAUAGUGUUGAUACUCAAUACCUAUUUCAAGUUUUGAUCCAUCUCAAUAUGUGCCAAAAGUAUGGCCCUGUGAAACCACUGUUCCACGUACUGUUUUCCGGAUUCGCUAUUUCUAACAAGCUCUAUGCUUCUAUCAGAUAGACUCUGAUUUUGGAAGUUUGAUUUGACAACUAUAAGGGUGUGAAUCAAAGUGCAAUCUUUAUUUUGGUUUGUGAGUCAAAGUGCAAUAGAUGUGAAUUCAAGGUGUGAUGACGCGAGUUGGAACGUAAUCAAGCCGGUAUGCAAAUUCAUUUAGUGUGGUGACGUGAGUCGGACUGCAAUCAAACCAAUAUAUAGAUUCAAUUGGUGUGAUGACGUGAGUCGAAAUGUAACUACACUCGUAUGUAAACUUAAUUGAUGUGAUGAAGUUUUAUAAAAAAACAAAUUAUAACGCUAAAGUAUCUUAUAAAAUGUAACGAAACUUAAGAUCUGAUAUCCCAAACUCAAAAAACAUAAGAGUUACAUAAGAAAAAUUAAAAAAUAAAAAACGAGAUAAUGUCUUUGACAUAUUAAAAUUCAUAUAUUUUUUUUAUCAAGGCUAAUAUUCACAUUCUCAUGAUCACUUUUUUUUUUAUUGUAUAUUUUUUUCGAAUAUCGAGUAAUAGAGUCACUGAGUAAAACCUAAAACUAUCAACAAGAAAUAAGAUAAAAGGUUAAAAAAGAAAAGAAAGACAAAAGGUUUUGUUAGGUUUGGGACUUUGGGUUAUCUUCUCGAAUUGCAGGACUCCAAGAACAGACAAAGAAGAAGAAGAAGACCUGAACAAGGCGAACAUCAUCGUCAUCAGAACAAGAAGAAGCAGAAACCCACUUAAUCUCACACACCAGGUACUUCGUGUCUCCUCUCUCUCUCGCUCUCGCUCUCCCUCUGUCUCGCUCUCUUCAUCUUUACUUUAGUUUUGUCUCCACCAAAAUGUGAAACACUAAGUUGAAUGAAAAUCAAAGCACAAAACUUGUUGAUUUUUCUUUUGAUGCUAAUCUCAAAGGAAUCGUCUUUUCAAUUGAAAAAUGAGAAAACCCCAUUAAAGUCCUGAUUUUUAUGCUCUCUGGAGGCGUUGGGAUCUCUGGGUUUACUCUCUCAGAUCCGUUCUGAGAAACCCAAUUGUUGGUUCAAUGCAAAAUGUCAGAUGCUGUGGUUUGAAAUUCUUGGGUUUUUGAGGUUCCGGGUUUGGGAGUUGAGGUUGGGAAUCGUUAUGGAGCAUUGGGUUCUGGGUGAAUUUAGUUCACCGACUCAAAUGGUCAUGUUUAGUUUUCUGUGAGCUUUGGCUGUUUCGCAGUCGAGUCUGGUCUUAGUUCUAGCGCCAUUUGACCUACAUUGUGUUUGAUUUGUGAUCAAUGAGAAGUGAUUACUGUUUGAGUACCUAGAAGACAUGUUUAAGUCAUAUUCUUCGGCAUCUGGUUAGUCUGCCUAGGAUGAUGGGUGAGUAACUGCAUUGUGACUUAGGAAUUUGACGCUGCUGUUUGAGGAAGGAAUAAGGUCAUUGUGUCUUAACUCUGCCUUUUAUGCAGUCAAGUCUGGUCUUAGUUCUAGUGCCAUUUGAUCUACAUUUUAUGUGUUCAGUGGGCAAUAGAUUAAAAGUGAUAGCGCUUGGAGUUCCUAGAAGACUGUCUUAAAGUCAAAUUGUUCGACUUCUGCAAAAUCUUUCGAUAUUAGGAUGAUGGGUGAGCAGUUGCAUUGUUUGCCGUAUAUAUGGCUGAGGAGUGAGGUGUUUUGUAUCUUAGAAAUGUUAAAGUUUAUCAAGUGUUAUAAGUGAAGUCAAGGAGUGAGUUGUUCUUCUAUCCUGAAACUAUUGAUUUUUCGCUUAAAAGUCCAUGUAAACUGCUGAUUGGGUUUUUUCUUUGGUGUUACAGGUGAGGUUAAUCCUCAGAAGAUAUCAUUCAUUCAUCAUCUAAGGAAGAGUAUACACUGUGAAUCGCAAAUGUUAAUUGAAUCAACAGAAGUACCCUUCCCCUGUAGCUAGUUAUUAGAUAGUACUGGUAUGGUUUUUUGAAUGUUCUCCUUUUUCUUCUUUUCUCUUUUUUUGUUAUUCAUGUGCGCAUCAUCAUAUGCAUGUGUACACAUAGAAAUACUAUUCCCUUGUUGUUCUAUCUUCUCAUUGCUGUAUCUCUUUCUAACAGGAGGUGUCAUGUCGUGCAGUGUUUACAACACAACCCUGGAUACAAGUUUUAAUGUGUGUCAGGAUGAGGGGUUAGAAUCCUGUGAUACUUCUGCUCUUUCUGCUGAUAUCUACAUGGAAGAUCAUGCUUUAGUUCCUGUGCCCGAUGAUUCUCUCACCUUGACGGAAUGUGCAUUAGCUAUUGGGCAAGAAUUUCCUGAUGUUGAAACUUGCCGAAGAGCAUUGAAGGAUGUUGCUAUUGCAAUGCAUUUUGAUCUUCGUAUCGUCAAAUCAGAUCGAAGCCGGUUUAUAGCCAAGUGCUCCAAAGAAGGCUGUCCAUGGCGUGUCCAUGUAGCAAAAUGUCCUGGAGUUCCCACCUUUACAAUAAGAACCUUGCAGGGUGAGCAUACAUGUGAAGGAGUCCGCCACCUUCAUCAUCAGCAAGCAUCAGUAGGUUGGGUUGCUAGGUCCGUGGAAGCUCGAGUUCGGGAUAAUCCACGGUAUAAACCAAAAGAGAUCCUGCAAGAUAUCCGUGAUCAGCAUGGGGUUGCUGUUUCUUACAUGCAAGCAUGGCGUGGCAAGGAGCGUAGCAUGGCAGCACUUCAUGGAACUCUUGAAGAAGGGUAUCGCCUUCUUCCUGCAUACUGUGACCAAAUAAGGAAACACAAUCCAGGAAGCAUUGCUUCAGUUUUUACCACUGGACAAGACAAUUGCUUCCAGCGGCUCUUUGUUUCCUACCGUGCAUCAAUUUAUGGGUUUAUACAUGCUUGUCGACCACUUUUAGAACUUGACAAAGCACAUCUUAAGGGCAAAUACCUGGGUACAUUGCUCUGUGCUGCAUCUGUUGAUGCUGAUGAUGCAUUAUUUCCACUGGCAAUAGCUAUUGUUGAUGUUGAAAGUGAUGAGAAUUGGAUGUGGUUUAUGUCGGAGUUACGGAAGCUUCUUGGAGUAAACACUGACAACAUGCCUAGACUUACUAUACUCUCUGAAAGACAAAGGGGCAUUGUGGAAGCCGUGGAAACUCAUUUCCCAAAUGCCUUUCAUGGUUUUUGUCUGCGCUAUGUAAGCGAAAAUUUUCGUGAUACAUUUAAGAACACAAAGUUGGUGAAUAUCUUCUGGAAUGCUGUUUAUGCUCUCACUGCAGUUGAAUUUGAGAGCAAGAUUGCAGAGAUGAUGGAUAUCUCGCAAGACGUAAUACCAUGGUUUCAACACUUCCCUCCUCAGCUUUGGGCUGUAGCAUACUUUGAAGGUGUGCGAUAUGGUCAUUUUACCCUCGGGGUUACAGAGCUGCUGUAUAAUUGGGCCCUUGAAUGCCAUGAGCUCCCUAUUGUGCAAAUGAUGGAGCAUAUUCGUCAUCAGUUGUCAUCGUGGUUUAAUGAGCGCAGGGAAAUGGGCAUGAGGUUGACAUCAAUUCUAGUACCUUCUGCUGAGAAGCGUGUUCUAGAGGCAGUUGCUGAUGCUCGCUGCUAUCAAGUGCUUCGCGCAAAUGAAGUUGAAUUUGAAAUUGUAUCUACUGAACGGACAAAUAUUGUGGAUAUAAGAACUCGAGUGUGCUCCUGUCGUCGUUGGCAUAUAUAUGGUUUACCUUGUGCACAUGCUGCUGCUGCACUUAUUUCCUGUGGACACACUGUCGCUUUAUUUGCUGAGCCUUGCUUCACAGUAGCAAGUUACAGAGAUACCUAUUUACAGAUGAUUCAUCCUAUUCCAGAUAAGAGCUUAUGGAAUGAACCCACUGAAGGGACAGAGGGUGGGAGUGCAAAAGUUGAUAUCAUGAUUCGUCCGCCCAAGACCAGGCGUCCCCCUGGCAGACCGAAAAAGAAGAUCCUUCGUGUAGAGAACUUCAAGCGUCCAAAGAGAGUUGUUCAAUGUGGUCGGUGCCAUAUGUUAGGACAUUCUCAAAAGAAAUGCACCUUGCCAAUAUGACCUUAAUUAGCUCGUUAGAUCUCCUUUUAUUUUUUAGCCUCCGUUGUUUCUGACUCACUUUCCUAUCAUUGCUCUAAGAUGCAAUAGAGUCAGUUGGAUGUUUGUAAUAUUAAUGUAUGUUUUAAUUUAGUAGUUUCUCUAAAUGGGAAAUAAGGAUUCAGUCCUUUCGGCACAGUUCUGUCUAUAUGCCAUGUGCACGUAGUGGCAGCAUCUUUGUGUUUUCUGGCUUUUUAACCUAAGCAUAAGGUGUUAUAUGUGUAUCUGAAGUGCUAUAUGAUUUUGUUAUAUGAUCUAUAAUGUGUAUCUCUUGUUAGAUCAUUUCCCUUAUUAUUGUCCAUUUGUCCCCAGGCCUCUCUUGGUUUUGUCAGUCAAUGGAGAUAUCCUUUGGUGCAUCUAUAUCGAUAUCUGCUGGUGUUUCCAAAAUUAAGGUAAGUAUUAAGAAACUGUUGCACUUUGUGACAUUAUUGGAUGAUUCAUGAUUCAGAAUGCGACUCAGAUGCUCAAUCAACUGAUGCAAGACUGUUUGUUCAGUUUUGCUAAUAUUACAUCACAAUAGAUGGUGCUUUUGUGGAGGAUUGUACUCCUGUGAGUUCUUGUUUCCUAACAUUCUUUCACUGUUGUCAUCCAAGUAGUUUUCUUGUACAUUGCUAUUUGCUUCAUCACAACAGUUCUAAAUACUACAAUAUGUUUCGAGUACCCUACCCUAUCGGUUCAGCUUCCUGUACCAAUUCAUAAAUUAAUUCUUUUCACUAUUGAGUUGUAUUUCUUACAACUCAAUAUCAAUCCAGUUAACAAAAGAUGGUGUUUCAAUUGGGGAUUCUGGGUUGUUAAAAUAUCAUUAUAUUCAGUUGCCAUGAAUGCAUUAGUGUACAGGCACGAAACAAAAAGAAAGGAUAAAGGAAAUCUGGGAAACAAAGAGAAGACAAAAACCAACUAGGUUAACUGACUAGUCUCAAAUCUCAAUCAAAACAUUUCAAUUGCUCAUAGUUUUACACCAAAAAAGCUCUAAAGUUUGUCUCCCUUUGCCAUUCAUUUUUUUUUUCGAAAAUUCUUCUACGCACCGAGGAGCAAGUGAACCGAUAAACUAAUAUGCAAUAUUUUGAUCCGGUUAUCCAUGUCACAUCAAAGGUACUCUUAUUAUGGACGCUUAAUUUGAUCGGAUCAAAAAUAAAAAUGAAAGAAAUGAAUAUAAGGUCUCUAGUCUUCAUUAGAUCUUCGUAUAUAUAUCGAUUUGAGGACUUACAUAUUAAUAAUGCAAGUGUAUUUUAUUGUGUAAAAUCCGCUCUAUUGUAUUUUUCCAUAUUUCUAACUACGUAGACACUUCCUCCGCGGGGCGCGGUCUUAAACGACGUCGUGUUGCAUAACCGAUUAAAUACAUUGGAGCCCUAAAAUCGGCCGUCUUUACCAAAUUCCCAAAAUCAAAAACGGAAGCUUUUCAGAUUUUCCGAUGACGAAGAAGAAGACUCGAGACUUGCCGAACCUGACAGAGUGCCAUUGCUGCCACCUCAGAGUCGACCUCGCCAAAUCCAAAUCCAACAAGCUCCACCUUCUCUACAGCGAGUGGCGGAUCGUCCUACUCUGCAAGAAAUGCCUCUCGCGCGUGGAAUCCACCGAGCUCUGCUCCUACUGCUUCCGCCACUCCUCCUCCGGCGACUGCUUCUCCUGCCGCCAGUGCAAGCGCCGCGUCCAUCGGGAUUGCGAUUCCGAGUACCGGAGCUCCGCGGUGUGGUCCGGCUCGUCGUCGGUGGCCGCCGCCGAGGAGGUCUCCGUCUGCGGCGAUUGCUGGGUUUCGGAGUCGCUGGCGAGGUGGAGGAGGAGCAGGAACAGUAGCGGCGGCGCUGGGAGGAAGAAUCGGGCGGAUUUGGGGGUUGGGAGAGCUAGGGUUUCUGAUGAUGAGAGGAAAUGUGAUUCGGAUUCGGUUGUGGUGUGUGAUUAUUCAUCUACAGAGGAGGUGAGGUGUUUGCGGCUCGAUGCUGUUGAAGAAGAGGAAGAAGAAGAAGAAGAAGAAGAAGCAGAGGAGAAUGUGGAUGAUGAUGAUGGGCAGUUGAAGGAAGGACAGGGGAGCUGCUCGAAUGGCGUUGAAUCGGAGUCGCCGCUGUGUUCUAAAGUGGACUGCAAUUGUGUCGCAAGGGCGAAAGGCGAAAAUGGCGAUGCCAAGCUUGAUCCGUACUAUUUCAAGUACAGGAGGAGGCGCAUUGAUCACGAGGUGUUGACAUACAAGAGGAGAAGCAUGUGUAAGAGUUUGAGAAAUUUUGAGUGCCCUCUGUUGACGUAUAAGAGGAGAGGAAGUGUUGAUGCUCGGUUUAUGUUUACGUAUAAGAGGAGGAGGAACUUUGAUCAAUCUAUGUUGACGUAUAGCAGGAGGAGACCGGAGAUCCUUUACGCAAGUUCAAAGAUACAGCUUGAGGGUCAGUGCUGAAUCCUGAGAGUUCAGAGGUAGGAUAGAACCUCUUCCUUUGCUGAAUUUUGCGCUUUUUUAUGAUAGUCAUAUGCUUCCAAUUGGCUUGUUCUUGAAUGCUUAGUGACACUGCUAGAUGAAUAUCACAAUCCAUAUACCAUCUUGUGUUUCCAGGCCAGAGUUCAAUGUGAUUAUCUUUCCUGCAUUUUGGUUCGUAAUGAUGAAUAUAACAAUGGCUUGCAUUACAAGUUUAAAGAUAAGCUAUUCCAUUGUGGUGAUAUGUCAACACAAAAUGCAUGCUAGGUGAAGGAAAAGUUUAGUUCCAUAGCUGGAAGAAACAAUCUCUUGUCAGUAGUGGGGAAACUAUUCGUAGUUAAAUCUAAGAUUUCUAGACUAGGUUUGCAACCUUUUGUCCCAGUUACGCAAAGGAAUUAGUUGGACAGUGUAAAACGAGAAGGAGUACCAUUAAUCGCUAUAAGUUAAUAUAUCAGAGCACAAGCACCAAUGCUCUCACAAUGUUAGUUUAUAGGAGUAGGAGAACCAAAAUUAUCCAUUCUUGCCGAAUAACUAGCCUUGAGGGUCUCUCCUGAUUUGUGAUAGUUCUUUUGUUUUGGAUUUUACAUUUCAUAUUCUUGAAUGCUUAGUGACACUGUAUGAUUCAUUGAUACUUCAUGUAGUUGUAGUUUCAUAUAUCAUGUCGUGUGCUCAGAUAAGAACUUGCAAUGUUUUUUUGUUUGUUUUUAUUUGGGUUGUAAUGGUUAUGAUCAAAUUUCUCAAGAUUGAGAAGUUAACAAUAGGUAUAAUAUCAAUAUUGAUACAUGCCUGCUGUUCCACUAGAAUACUACAAUCUUUAUUAAAUAGUAGGGAUAGUAACUUCAAUUAAAGAUAAAAUUCUAGACUACGUUAAAGAUCUUCUCUUGGCAUGAUUCCAAAUGUAUUGGUUGGACUGUAGAAAAUGCAACACUCUUAUUAAGUUCAGAUAGGAUUUUUCAUUUUUUCCCUGCAAUUGUUGGACAUUUUAGUAAUCAGACUUUGCAUUGGACAUUAGAAGGUAGUCUGAGUAAAGGACUAUGCGUUCCUUCAUAUGAUUAUGAUCCAAUGACAAGCAGUGAACCGAAGCAAGGAAACAGGGGACUCGCCAAAUCUCUCAAAGUCUGGCUUGCCAAAGCCAAGAACAAGCUGCACUCUGCGAGUGGUUCAGCAUCAUUUUCUGCAGAAAUGCGUGGCUCAUGUUGAGUUCAUGGAGCCAUGCUCCUACUGCUUCAUGGAGCUAUGCUCCUACUGCCAUGGAAGUUUCUGUUUGCACCGAUUACUGGGUUCCUUUAUCCCUGACCGGGUGGAGAGGGGUUGUUAGAAGUAGGAGCAAUAGUAACAGGUUUGAUUAGGAACUGAGGAAGUUUAGGGUAUUGGCAGUGGAAAUCAAAAAGCAUAAUGCCUCAAUCUAUCAUCUCAAGCACAGGAGAAGGAGCACUGUCCAUCACUGUCAACAUACAAGAUGAGGCGUAGUAUUCGUCGCUGUUAGAGUUUGAGCACCAGUGUUGAUUGCCAUAUGUUGACAUGCUGUUCUUUGUUAACAUAUAAGAGAAGUCUGAAGAUCCUCUACUCUUGUUCAAGAUUAAGAUUGACCGAAGGUAGCAGCAUCUCUAACUUUGAUGAAAUGUUAUUUGGAGAUGGAGACUGACUUGAUCCUCAUCCCCUCCCAAACAGUGAGAUUGAUCUUCAGCCUCUUGGGAUUCCCCUAUUAUUUAUGAAUGCAUUAAAUCGUAGUUAAUAUAUUCAAUGGAAAUUAAAUUUCAUCGGCCUCAAAAGAAACCUUGGAAGACUGAAAGUUGAAAAUACAUUGCAGUUGAUUGCAGAUCUCAUCUUCCCACACGUAUUCGUUAUCAUUGUGAUUAGUCUAGUAUAUAAAUCCACAUUCCACCACACAACUCCAACAUUCCACCACACAACUCAACAUCAGAGAGUAGCAGGAGAAUGAGUGCUACUGACCCAAAAGAAGAAGCGAGAACGGACGAUGAAGUCUAUCACAUUCCCACACUGGCACAGGAAAUUUCUCCUCCGAAAGAAGAUCCUACUAUUCUUCUCCGAGUGCAGAGUCAACAACAUCCUCACAUUUCCUACAUGACCAGUCCUAGUAUGCUUCUCACUCAUGUUUUACGAGAUUACUGUAGACGCACAGGUCUGAUCUUCGAAACAGUACGCUUUCCAGCCCGGUGCAGGAGAGUGAUACUCCGGAACGUUUUGCGAUGGAGGAUGGCGAUGCCGUCUACGCGUUUAUUGAUCAACUGGGUGGUGGACUGGUGGCAAUGUAUGUUCUUGAUUUGGAGGAAUAAGUAACUUUGCAACCUGUUAUCAUUUGUUCAAGCUGCAGACUAGCCUAGCAGUACUUCUCUUUGUUAUCCUUAUUUUAUAUAUGGAACAAAAACCAGCUCUCUGAAUCUCUGAUCCAUCGUGCAUGCAUGUUUGAUUGUUCUUUGGAAAUGGCAUAACUAUUUUGGUUCAGAAUCAAUAUUAGGGGAAUAUCUGUUUCUAGCUUGAUCUCCACCUAUAAUUUUGUUUCCUUUUCUAAUUUUCUCUGUAUGGUAGUAUAUCAAGAAUAGUGGAUAAAAUACAUAUAUUUAGGGUUUUGAUUGACUGUUUGAAAUGGCAGCUGUAACCGAAAUAAAUUAUUUUAGGAGCAAAUCAAGUAUCACUACACUGUGUGAACGCAAAAAGAGAAAAAUAAUCUUGGAAAAGAUUUGAUGGGGAAUGACUUAAUCAUGGAUUAAUACUUGAUUACAGCAGAAUUUGAUUUUUUUUGGUAUGUCAUAGGGGGCUGUCAAAUGGAUCAGGUUCCAAUUGCUAGAUCAUCAAAUUUCAAAUUUCCAAUUUUAACUCGAUCAUGGUCAAAUUCUGCAAUCUGUGGCUAUUUCCUUGAAGGUGAGUCCACAUUUUUCUGUAAGUUCUUUGUUGCAUCUCCAUUGCUUUGCUAUGUUUAUGUAUAUAUAUACACCUCGGGCUAUAUACCUCAUUAUCCUACUUCUUCUGUAAUUUGAUUUGUUUCUCAGACUAACGAGUUCUUGUGAUCUAGUGUGUUUGUAACUAGAUAAUGGGUUUAGGCUCCUGUGGUCUUUAUGUCUCUUUUGGAAAGAAAAAGGACAUAGCAGGUCCUGAUGAGCAUAUGAGUCCCGAUCCUCAGGAAAAUGUUUCUGAUGAGUUUCAGUCUUGUCCUUCUUAUUCAAAUACUAUUAGGUGGUGUUCUAAAUCCCCAAGUGACGGAAAUCUGGUCACUGUGGAGUUUGGUCACAGAAGAAGUUUAUCACAAGGGGGGAACAUACAUAAACCCCCUCGAAAUAUUUUGAUCCCAGGGAGGUCAUCUGGUGCAACCGAAGCUGUAAACCUGGCAAGUCUAGCUGACAGAGAUUCGGUCACCAAGUACAAGUUUUGUCACCAGAGAAGUUUUUCACAAGGUAACUGUUAUGAAACCCCUGGAAAUAAUUUAGUCCCGAACAGGUCAUCUGAUGCAAAUCAAGCUGUGAAGCAUGGUUUAAGUUCUAGCGCAGGUCAUUAUUAUGGCCAUGGAAACAUCAUUAAGGGGUUUAAUAGCAUAACACAACUUCAAAGCCCUGGAAGUGUGGAAGAGAUCAACAAUAUGGCCAAUUUGAAAUAUAGAAAGGGAUACUUUAAGGAGGCAGUACCCUUGUAUGAUAAGGCCAUUGCGUUGUGCCCUCAGAAUGCUAUUUACCAUACCAAUAAGGCUGCAGCAUUGAUCAGCCUUGGUAGAUUCACUGAAUCUGUGGAAGAGUGCCUAAAGGCAAUCAAAUGUGAUCCAUCAUGCUCUCGUGCCCAUUAUAGGCUUGGAACUCUUUUUACUAGGUAUUCUUUAUGACUGUAAAUUUUUGAAAUUAAUUUCCUUACUUCUUAUCAUAGAUUUGUUAUAAGAUUUGGCCUUUUAUGCAGGUUUGGUCAAGUUGAUGAUGCAAGAUGGCAUUUCAUGUUAUCUGAUAAGAAUAUUGGCUCAGAAACUAUGCAGCGUCUAUCACGUAUUGAAGCUCAUUAUGUAAAUACUAACAAGGCCAGGAAGGUUAAAGACUGGGGUGGCGUUUUGAGAGAAAGCACUUUAUGUAUUGAAGCUGGAGUAGAUGCAUCAAACCAGGUGAUUUGAAAAUACUCAAGUUUUUUUUUGGAUUGAAACAUGUAACUUGGUUUAUAUUUACUUGUAUGAUUAUUCUAUGCUUUCUUGUGGCAGUUGGUUGCUUUAAAAGCUGAGGCUCUAUUUAAGCUUCAAAGGGUAGAGGAAGCUUUUGAACUAGUAAAUGCUGCAAGUCAUUCGGAAGAAAGUAGAGUCACAAAACCUCGCAAGGGUACAGCAUGCUUGCUGAUCAUUGAAACCAAGCUCCAUUUGUAUCUCGGAAGGUAUGCAAUUGCAUUUUCUUCAUUAGAUUAAGGUUCUUAUUUAGUCCUAAUAUAAGACUCUAAAUUUUAGAUUGUCACAUAAUAUAUGGCCAAUUACAUCCCACCCCUGUUCUGGGGUUAUUUUCAGUUUACCCUUUUUCCUUCUCCUUUAAAGACAUUGCAUUCUUAUCAGACCUCUGUCACUUUGAUCACUUAAACAUUUUCAUUACACUCUUGUAACCCGAGCUUCUUGAAUUAAUAGCCUAUUAAAUUGACUUAGUAUGAAGUUGUUGUUCACUACUGUAACAGUAGUAUGUUCUGAAAAUGUUGAAAAACUAGGAUGUUAUGACAUGAAAGUAAUCUUGAGAAAAGCAAUCACUGUUGAAGUAAAAUGAAAUUAGCCCUAAAGAUUGUGAUAGAAGCUAGAAAUACAGAAAAUGCUGAGCAACCUAAUUCAAAUACAUAAUGUGCUAAUUCACGAAUCUUAAUCAUUCAAAAGCACCGAAAAUGAAUUUAUCAAAUGUUUCCUGAUUAGUUGCUUUAUGUAUGUAGGAUAUUCUACUUGGUUAUGUCAUCUCAUCCCUAGAAAUUACAAUGUCGCUAAAGUUUUAAUUGUGUAUCAGAUUUGAGAAGGGAGUUAAGUCUGCAGAAAAAGCUGUGGACAUGGAUUCAACCGGGAAGUCUCUAAAGUGGCUGAAGAAAGCUAGGGGUGCUGCAGAAGCCAGGAAAUGUGGAAAUGACUACUACAAGGAUAAAAAAUACUUGGAGGCAUGCACAAUGUUUGGCCAGGGUCUGCAGUAUGUUCCUACAAACAAUGUCUUACUUUGUGAUCGAGCUGCUUGCAGGUCUAAGCUUGGACAGUGGAAAAUGGCCAUUGACGAUUGCAAUGCAGCUUUAAGAGAACGACCUAAUUUCCACAAAGCUCUUCUAUGGCGUGCUCACUCUUAUGCUAGGGUAUGGUCCUUAUAAAGCACACAUUUCCUCUUUUCUUUAGGUUUCUUUUUGCUUGAUCAAUUAAUUAACACGCCACCACGUUUUACACUUUUACUGGACCAGCUUAGGAGAUGGAAGGAUUCUUUAAAGGACUAUUCUGCCUUGAGCAAGGAGUUUCCAGGAGAUGAAUUUAUUGCCAGCUCUCUUGAUCAAGUAAAAAAGGAAUUGAAGGCUCGAGCUCAUGGUAGAUUCUCAAGCCUUGAGCCAAUAAUGGAAACAUAUAUCUAUUAGUCAAAAUUUCCAGCUUAUUGUUCCGUUCUUAAGCUUGAGCAUUUGCAAAACAUAGAUUAGGAUAUAACUUUAUAGAUCAGUUCAUCGAUGGGGAGUACCACUUCGAUAUUGUUUGGAGUACUACAAAAUUGGCCAACGGCCAUGUCUGAAUUGAAAAACUGCCCAAGGUGGUUAGUGUUCGUCUUUUGUGUUCAACUCUUUGAUACUUCAGUGCCUACUACUUCAGGAAUUGCUGGAAUAUCCAAAAUCCUUGUACCAAAAUAUUCCUUUGUUUGAACUAUUCAUUCUCUAGGAUCAAUGCACAUAAUAGAAAGAUGAUGUUAGUAAUAUAGCAUUUGGCUCAUAGCUCUUGUUUUGACACUCAUUUGACAGCUCAUCGAUUUUGCAUGGAACAUUUUUAAUGAAUUACUUGGUCUUGUUUAUGAUCAAGUAUUGCCUUUCAUCUCAAUUAAGUACUUGGCUUAAGUAAUCAAUCAUUUAGUUAACAGUGACUGACUUGCUAGCUAGCUAUAAUAUUGCCAAUUGUCUUUCUUGUUUUGGCCAAGUUGAUGAUAUCAAUGUUUACACUGAUGCCGGCCUCUGUUCGUGGCUUCUUAUAUGUUUUAAAAAUCUACAAAUACUGUUAUUCAUCGUCAUUUCCUUAAUAAGGUCACUAACAUUCAGAUGUUUAUAUAGCAGAAGAUAGAAGCCUAUCAUGAAACCCAAGUAAAGCUCUGGUUGCUAAUUAAAGAAGCAAUGAGGACUAACAAUGGGGUUCCACUUCCUUGCAUUUUCUCUAUUCUUGCAUGUUGUCUGUUAACUCUCCAUGUCAACAUGGCUUUGGCAGAGAGAUCCACUUAUAUUGUCCACAUGGAUAAGUCUCUGAUGCCCAAAUCCUUCACUAGCCAUCAUCAUUGGUACUCCUCCAUUGUUGAUUCCUUCAAAACUGAUCUUCACACCUCGUCAGAUCCCCACAGACUCACGCCAUCCCUUCUGUACACCUAUGAUAAUGCCUUUCAUGGUUUCUCAGCAGUUCUGUCCACAGAUGAAUUGGAGACUUUAGGAAAGUCUCCAGCUUUUGUUUCGGCUUACAAGGACAAAACUGUCACAGUUGACACAACCCAUACCACUACAUUCCUCUCCCUCAACCCUUCCACUGGUUUGUUACCUGCUUCGAAUUAUGGUGAAGACAUCAUUGUUGGUGUCAUUGAUACUGGGAUCUGGCCGGAGAGCGAUAGCUUCAGAGAUGAUGGUCUGACCAAGAACAUUCCAGCUAAGUGGAAAGGCAAAUGUGAGGUUGGACAAGAGUUCAAUACCUCUCUGUGUAACAACAAAUUGAUAGGAGCAAGAUACUUUAACAAGGGUGUAAGGGCUGCAAAUCCUGGUGUCACACUUAGCAUGAACUCUGCUAGAGACACUCAAGGCCAUGGGACUCAUACAUCAUCAACAGCUGCAGGGAACUUUGUUGAUGGGGCAUCAUAUUUUGGUUAUGCUAAAGGAACAGCUAGAGGUGUAGCACCGCGUUCCAGGGUUGCCAUGUACAAGGUCCUUUGGGACGAGGGUAGAUAUGCCUCUGAUGUUCUAGCAGGCAUGGACCAAGCCAUUGAUGAUGGUGUGGAUGUUAUCUCAAUCUCCCUAGGCUUUGAUGCCACGCCAUUGUACGAGGAUCCUGUGGCAAUAGCAUCCUUUGCAGCCAUGGAGAGGAAUGUGGUGGUCUCAUCUUCAGCCGGAAAUGAAGGAACAUCAGGCCUUGGGAUGCUGCACAAUGGCAUCCCUUGGGCCGUAACUGUUGCAUCAGGCACCAUAGACCGCUCAUUUGGUGGAUCAUUAAGUCUUGGUAAUGGUUUAACCAUUCCUGGAUUUACCUUGUUCCCGGCAAAUGCCCUUAUAGAAAAGCUUCCACUGGUUUACAACAAGACGUUAUCGUCUUGCAACGACACAGAACUAUUGUAUGCUGGCCCCAGUGCAGUCCUCAUAUGUGAUGACAUUUCAGAUAUCAGUGGUCAAAUGUCUCAUCUUGUUGCUGCAGAGGUGCUUGGAGCUAUUUUUAUUACAAACGAUCCUACGAUUAUUGAGUUAGGAAGUGUUAGAACUCCUAGUGUUGUGGUAAGUCCAGAUGAUGCACCAGCUCUUAUCAAAUAUGCAAAAAGAGAAGACGCUACUGUCAGCAUAACUUUCCAACAAACAUUUGUUGGGACAAAGCCUGCACCAGCUGCUGCAUUUUACACUUCAAGAGGUCCUUCAUCAAGUUAUCCGGGUAUCUUGAAGCCGGACAUAAUGGCACCGGGGUCAUUAGUUUUGGCUGCUUGGCCUCCGAAUGUAGCAGCUGGCAUUAUUGGUGGAAAUGUGCUGUUACCAAGUGACUUUAAUAUGAUAUCCGGAACAUCCAUGGCUUGCCCUCAUGCUUCAGGCGUCGUUGCUCUAUUGAAAGGUGCACACCCGGAAUGGAGUGCAGCUGCCAUUAGGUCUGCUUUGGUCACCACAGCAAAUCCAUUAGACAACACUAGGAAUCCGAUUCGUGACAAUGGUGACAAUUUCAACUUUGCUUCACCUCUAGCUAUGGGAGCAGGCCAGAUUGAUCCUAAUAGAGCACUUGAACCCGGUUUGAUAUAUGAUGCAACCAUACAAGACUAUGUCAACCUCUUGUGCUCCACCAACUUUACCCGGAAGCAAAUCUUAGCCAUUACUAGAUCACAUGAGUACGAUUGUUCCAAGGCGUCUUCUGAUCUGAACUAUCCAUCCUUCAUCGCUUUGUAUGGUCAACAUCAUGCAAAGAAAUUAAGGGUUCAAAAGUUUCAGAGGACAGUAACAAAUGUGGGAGAUGGUGCCGCUAAGUACAAGGUUUUUGUAACAGCUCCAAACGGUUCUACGGUAAUAGUGUCACCAGAGAUAUUGAACUUUGCAAAUAUAUACGAAAAGCAAAGUUACACUGUUACUAUAAAGUACAAGGGGGACAAACAGAAGAAGGUUUCUUUUGGUGAACUUGUUUGGGUUGAAGAAAAUGGAAAAUACAAAGUGAGGAGCCCCAUUGUAGUGUCACCUGAUCUUGUUUGAGUUUAAGGUAAUAAACGUCUUGUAAACCUUGACAAUGGAAUAUUUCAAAUAAGAGAAAUCUAAACAGUAUAUGUGGAGCUAGAAAAGAGAGUUUAAUUUAUGCAAAUUAAAAUUUUAUGGAGCUCCUUGACAUAUGCAUAGUUUUUGCAGAUGUUUCAAGACAUACCAAUUCUGGAGCAUAUUUCUCACCAUCCUGCAGUAAACAAAUUCAAAGGUUGAAUUCCUUCAAUAACUGUAUCAAUUUAUCAAACAUAAUACCCAUCUUCAAAACACUCCACGUUUCAACAAAUAUAUUUGCACAUUAUGCCUUUACAUCUUAAACCCUAAACCCUAAACCCUUUUACAUCUUAUGCCUUCUGAGUUCUGACUAUACUUGCAUGAGAGAAAAUGAACAUCGAUAGGAUGGUGAAGACAGAAGAGCGAAACAUCAAGGUAAACCAAUUUUUCAGUUUGGCUUGUACAAACGAAUCCUGCAGCUAAAACCAUCAUAAACAGAACCAGUUUGACAUAUAACAAAUUAAGCGAAAUGUUCAUGAAUCAUUUGACAGAUAACAAAUUUAGCUCAAGUGCCAGGACAUUCUACUUUAUUUUAAGCUUUAACAUUAAGGAAACUCGCAUAUGUACUUCAAGAAGAUUGAAAUGUGAAAAACUAUCUGUCAUUCAGGUAUAAACAGUCCACAAAUUACUAAGCAGAGGGUUUUAAUUGCCUUAGUAACUGGGUAGAAGCAUUACCUGCAAUGAUAAAAUCAGUGAGCAAAUAAAAUAAGGUUGCUGCGAGAUCUAGUUAUUAGUUUGCAGUAUAAUCCAAGAAGAAAGUCGAUAGUUCAAUUCAUUACUAUUUGUUUUAGAAAAUAGGUAUUGACUAUAUCAUGAUGGGACCAAACUAUAUAGUCUAAUUUUCUUGUUUACUACGUUUAUGAUACUAAAUACAUAGAUGCCGGCUUCUGACUACUUCUUAGGCUUGUAUGUUACAAUAUUAUAGCCAUAUUCAGGGCCAUAUAUCUAUCUAUAUAGCUACCAAGUGAAGCUUUCAUGAAACCUAAGUAAAGGCUCUGGUUGAAAAAGAAACAAUGGGGUAUUACUCUGGGGUUCUUCUUCCUUGCAUUUCCUAUGUUGUUCUUUCGCUUUUUCUAGUAGCUUUGCAUGUAAAUGUUGCUAUGGCAGAGAGGUCUACUUUUAUUGUCCACAUGGACAAGUCUCUCAUGCCCAAGUCCUUUACUAGCCAUCAGCGUUGGUAUUCUUAGGGUUUAGGGUUUAGGCUCUUCAAGUCUCUCUGCCCUUGAUCUCGAACUGGAGCAAGUUCGGAUCACUUGAUCAUGAACUUGAAAAGCUCAGAUACCUUUGUUCUUGUGUCUAAUGCCUUUAUAUAGGCAUAGCUCAUCAUGCAUUUCUCUUUGUGCACGUACCAUGCAUGGAAGCAAAGUCAAGCUUCCUCCUUGUUUCACGCUCUAUGUUGGCAUGCUAACUAAUGCAUACUUCCAUCAACAUUCAACAAAUGCUGCACCACCCUAGCUACACAUAUAGCGAGCCUUCCUUUUACAUUUAUUGGGUCACCAAAGUAAUAAUUCUUCUUGCUUUCCUCAUGUGUAAUCCAACACAUGGUUUCUCACCUCCACUAAGGAGGGACCAACCCAACAAUUAUGUCGUUCUCUUGUGUUCUACAAAUUUUACCUGUAGGAAUCCUAGAUUGAUGCAAGUCAUGUAGUAUUGACUUAACAUACAACUCCAAACCUAUAAACAUCUUGAUUUAGUGGAGGGAAGAACCACAAUAGGUUUCAUUACUUUGUGCUACAUUUUCUGUUUCUUUCAGUUAGGUGGUAAGAGUCAUUGAGUCUAGACAAAAGGAUUUCCAUUUCUAGUUUAAAAUUUUAGGUCUGGUUUUUAUCUAUGAGAUGUAUUAUUGCUGGAAUACUUUUUCAUUGAACUCUUUGAUAAUAGUAUUACUGCAUUAGUAUUACUUCUGUUGAUAAGCUUGUACUAACCUAAAUAUAAACCUUGAUCGGUCUUCAACUAGUACAAAUAUAUUUUUUGAAAGGAAACUAGUACAAUUAUUGAUAGCCAAAUAUAGUUAUGAAAACAAAUGGGACCUAAGUAAUUUUCAUUCUCAUUUUUAAAAUUUUUUUUCCAUAGUCUCAGAACUCAUAUUCUCUAGCCCUUUUAUAUCAAGGAUGUCAUAAUGCAUAUGCAUGCCCAAGCAAAGCUCUAGUUGCAAAAGAAACAUGGGGAUCAAUUGUGGUGUUCCUCUUCCUUACAUUCUCUAUGUUCUCCAGACUUUUCUGUUAGCUCUCCAUUUCAACACUUCUUUGGCAGAGAGAUCCACUUAUAUUGUCCACAUGGACAAGUCUCUGAUGCCCAAGUUUUUCACUAGCCAUCAACAUUGGUAUUCCUCCAUUGUUGAUUCCUUCAAAACUGAAACUCAAACAGAUAGCCACAGCUUCUCACCAUCCAUUUUAUACACCUAUGACAAUGCAUUCCAUGGUUUUUCUGCAGUUCUUUCUAUAGAUGAACUCGAGACCCUAAAAAAGUCCCCCGGUUUUGUUUCAGCUUACAAUGACAAAACUUUCACACUUGACACAACCCAUACCAGUGACUUCCUCUCCCUCAACCCUUCUGCCGGCCUUUUGCCGGCCUCGAAUCAUGAAGAAGACAUCGUCAUUGGUGUCAUUGAUACCGGUGUCUGGCCAGAAAGCGAGAGCUUCAAAGACGAUGGAGUCAUGACCAAAGACAUUCCGGCUAGGUGGAAGGGAACAUGUGAGGUUGGACAAGAGUUCAAUGCCUCUUUGUGUAACAAAAAGUUGAUUGGAGCUAGAUACUUUAACAAGGGAAUUAUGGCUGCAAACCCCGGCGUCACACUUAGCAUGAACUCUGCUAGGGACAGUGAAGGCCAUGGGACUCAUACAUCCUCCACCGCUGCAGGGAACUUUGUCAAUGGCGCAUCUUAUUUUGGCUACGCUAAUGGAACAGCCAGAGGUGUCGCACCACGCUCAAGGGUUGCAAUGUACAAGGUCAUUUGGGAUGAGGGGCGUUACGCGUCUGAUGUUCUAGCUGGUAUAGACCAAGCUAUUGCUGACGGUGUGGAUGUAAUUUCCUUGUCCAUGGGGUUUGAUGGAACGCCACUCUAUGAAGAUCCUAUAGCAAUAGCAUCUUUUGCAGCCAUGGAGAAGAAUGUGGUGGUUUCAACUUCAGCCGGAAACGAUGGCCCUGGCCUUGGAUGGUUGCACAAUGGUAUUCCUUGGGUCUUGACUGUUGCAGCUGGCACUAUAGACCGCUCCUUUGGCGGAAUACUAACUCUUGGGAAUGGUUUAACCAUUACUGGGUCUAGCUUGUUACUAGAAAAUGCCAUAGUAGAAAAGGUUCCACUGGUGUACAACAAGACCUUCUCAGUUUGCAACUCGACAAAGGUACUAUCAAAUGCCCCAGAGGGAGUCAUCAUCUUAUGUGACGAGAGUGAUGAUAUUCGAUUUCAGAUAUCUCAGUUCAUUGGAAUACAUGUGCUUGGGGCUAUUUUUAUUGGCAAAGAUCCUGAAAUAUUUGAUGAAGGAGGUGUGACAUUUCCUCUCGUGGUGGUAAGUCCGGAUGAUGCAUCAGCACUAAUCAAGUAUGCUACAAGUAGCGAUGAACCUUCUGUGACCAUGAAAUUCCAACAAACAUUUCUUGGCACCAAGCCUGCACCGGCUGUGGCAUCUUACACUUCAAGAGGACCUUCACCAGCUUAUCCAGGAAUCAUGAAGCCGGACAUAAUGGCACCGGGGUCAUUAGUUUUGGCUGCAUGGCCUCCGAAGGUUGCAGCAGCCCGAGUUGGGUCGGAUGUGAUCUUUUCAAGUGACUACAAUAUGAUAUCUGGCACAUCCAUGGCUUGCCCUCAUGCCUCAGGCGUAGCUGCUCUAUUGAAAGGUGCACACCCCGAAUGGAGUGCAGCUGCAAUUAGGUCUGCCAUGGUGACCACAGCCAACCCACUGGAUAACACUCUGAAUCCAAUUCGUGACAAUGGUGAUCAUAACUUCAACCCUGCUUCACCUUUGGCAAUGGGAGCAGGUCAGGUGGAUCCUAAUCGAGCACUUGAACCAGGCUUAAUAUACGAUGCAACCCCUCAAGACUAUGUCAAUCUCUUGUGCUCCACAAAUUUUACCGCUAAGCAAAUCUUAGCCAUCACUAGAUCACCUGCCUAUGAUUGUUUCAAUCCAUCUUCUGAUCUGAACUAUCCCUCCUUCAUUGCUUUGUAUGAUCGUCGUCAUGACACAAAGAAGCUAAAGGUCCAAAAAUUUCAGAGGACAGUAACAAAUGUGGGACAUGGUGCAGCUACGUACAAGGCUUCGGUGAUAGCUCCACAGGGUUCUAAAGUGACAGUGUCACCGGAUACAUUGUUCUUUUCAGAGAAAUAUGAGAAGCAAAGCUACACUCUUACAAUAAGUUACAAGGGGAAAAAGAAAGGAAAUGUGUCAUUUGGUGAAAUUGUUUGGGCGGUAGUAGAUUUAAAGUACAUGGUCAGGAGCCCCAUUGUAGUGUCUCCUCUUGUUUCAGUGUCUUAAGUGAGUGGUGUUGUCCAUGAAACUCAGAGGUUCAGACCAUCAUAAAUAAGAUAUUAGCAUUAUAACAUAUGUUUAUCAUAACCUCUUGUAUUUCUUAUAUCUUAAUGAAAUAAAUUGAUUACUUUGUUAUGCAAGUACGAGUAGAAUGGAAGAACUGAAUUGAAUUCGUGAGUCUUGCUUAUUAGCUUCUUUGAUGUUCAUCAACUUGGACCAACUUUAUACAUUGUUAGGUUUUGUUAAUCUUCCCAUACUGUUAGAUACUGCAUCCUUUACAGACUUAUCAUGUGAAAUGACAAAGACUUGAUGAUGAUGAUGAUGAUAUGUAACAAAUUUCUCCAAGAAGGAAAGUAAUAGGUUGUGAAAGUUUUUGAUGAGCACAUGCAAGAAGCUAGCUGGCUAGGUGCUAAGUUUUUUUUUUUUUGGAAUUAAUGAAAUGGGUAGACCCUUUAUAGGAGCCCAAACAGACCAAAUUACAAUUAAACUAAGAUAAAUUACCACUAAGCUCAAUCCACAUGGAAAUGGUAAAAGAGAGUAACCCUAAAAAAAAGUUUACAUCAAACCCUAAACUAUUAGCACAGCCGCCGCCGCCGCCUUGACGAACCCUAGCUGCAGCCGGCGAUGCCGCUGCUACUGCCGCUAGUGACCAAGAGGUCGUGAGAUAUGCCAAAAUGAAAGGAAGAUGACCGAUAAUUUGCUGCCAAGAAAAUCUAACAACACAAAUCCUGUCAAAACCAAAGGAAAUGGAGAUGAAAGAGAAGGUGUAAGUUUUUCAAUUACAAAACAAAGCUUAUUCCAUUUUGGCCUCUAUCCUUCUUCUGCAAUCGGCCCCAUUACUUACUUAGAAUCAAAAUGGUGUGUGAAAGCAAGGCAGAUAAGCUUAAUUAGUCCUUUUUUUUUCCUCUGAUACCACAAUCCUUAGUUGGUAAGGCUCUGUAUAUCUGGUCUUUUGCUGAAUACCUACAUACCGAUUCGGCGAUUCCCCAUCACUGAAUAAUGAAAAUGCUAUGUAAUAGCUAGGAAAAAGGAUUCCAUUUCCUAUAUUUUUAAGUAUAUAACACUUUAUUUAGGUGUGAUUAUGUGCGGACAUAAUCAAAUUAUUGUCUACACAUGUCACCAUGUGCAAUUUAGGCAGUACAAUAUGAUACAAUGCAGUGACUUUAGUGGCCAAAGAGCAAGUGAUAGGAACCCGGCCUUCAACUCAAUUAGAGUCUAAAUUUAGAUAAUGAACAAAAAUUAGAGUCUAAAUGACUAAAGCUAGCUUAGCUGGCAUGGAUUAAUUGAAUUAUUUACAACAAGGUUACGUACAUGUGAAGCUGAGCCAAUUAGGAUUCAUUUUUGAUCAAAAUGUUCCAUACAUCAAUCCUUGCUAUAUGAAUAUGAGCGUCACAAAAUGCAUGGUUCCUCUCGGUUCGUCAAAUUAAGGUACUUAUUGGGAGCUGGGGCUAUACUAAUAUCCAACGACACACUGAAUUGUAUGAACUGGGAGGUGUUCUUUGUGCUUGCGUUGUGAUUAGCCCAAAAGAUAUAUAUGCACAAUUGUAUGUGAAUGUGAUCAAAUAUGUGAACAGUAAUCCGUACCCUCUGGUAAGCGUGAAGUUUCAAGCAACCAUUCUUGGAACAAAUCAAUCCUGCUACAACUGCAUGCGGCCUUUUGUAUUGUUCAAGAGACCAUUCAAUUAUCCUACUUGGAUUCCAAAUGAAAUAGUUGUGGCCAAACCGGGAGUAGUUUCGUUCCAAAACGUACCGUCCAAUUCGAGAUCACGGUUUCACGGUUGCAAUUUGCAGCUUGCUUCUCUUCUAAGGCUAAGGCAUUGGAUCCGGCCGGGUUUGAUUUGUGAAAUUGCAUGUGCCUCCCUGACUGUGCCAGAAAAUAUUACAGUAGCCCGCCCAAAAUGGGAAGACAGUAGCUCAUGAAAACCAAAGCUGAAACAGGUUAACAUUGAAAUGGAAAAGCAAAUUUGAAUGCAGCUGAUUUUCGAUACCCUCUUGGCCUCUUCUUGUAUUGUCAUUUACUGGCAGAGAUAAUAGUGAAAACAACCUCUUCUUGUAUUGUCAUUUACUGGCAGAGAUAAGUGGUAGUGAAAACAACUGUAACCAUAUCCUCCACAACCCAAAAGAACUGUACUAUUGCUUGUUAGUCCCUCCCUUUCUCUUAUUUUGAAUUUGCAACAGGCAUUGAUAUCGAUCAAGCUUGAAUGUGAUUAAAACCUAGUCAAUAUUUAAACAUGUUUCUAAAGUAUGCAUUACAGUUUCAAUCAGUUCAUGCUCAUCGAUCUUGUUCAAAGAAAACUUCUCAUAUCAACUUAGGUUGCCCAUAAAAGAUUACUGGAAUGUAUGUUAUUGUCGAACCCGAAUUAUGUUCCGAAUUUCUAACUAAGAUUUGAGAUUUCAGUGGAGUGUGUUAUAUAGAGAUCGGAGAUUUCAUGGUAAACCAGUUAAGAUGCCUUGCCUGUGAUAUUUUCUGGGAACCAAGAACUUGAUAUAAACAAUAACUAGAAGUCGUUCCAUUUCAUGGAUGUGUAAGGGUAAGAAGUAAAAACAUAAUUCAACACUGAAAACACUGAAAGUUGAAAGAUUUUAAUUCAUAGCUCUUUAGCACCCUAACUUCAUCCAUUAGCUACCAUAUUGUUCCAAAAUAGCUCCCAUUUCCACUCACACUAAUCAUUACAUCAGACUCUUAAAUGGACCAAGCUAGCUAGCUUAAAGCCUUAAACACACAUACUUAAUUAACGCAAUCUAAUAAAACCCCAAAUUAAGCCUCUUCUUAUCCCUCUCAAGCAUCACAUCCACACCUGAAUCUCAUCGCCCCGACGGCGACUAUGUAAAGAUAAUAGACCCCAGACGCGUGCCAACCACAAGCGAAACCAGGCGAGCGCAGACGAAGAGGGGCGGCAUAGUGACAAUGGCGACGAGCAAGUAGACUAGGUAACAAACGGAGAAGAUAGCGGUGAUGAAGAAGUGGCCAUCAGGGCAGUCACAAAUAUCGUGGUAGUAGACCCUCAUACGAAGAGUAUUGAUUGCGGCGGUGGCUGAGUAGCUGCCCUCAAAGAGAAGCAUCAUCCGACUGUCCAAGAGUGAGGAGCUAUUAAUCUUUGAGAGAUAAUCCUCACCAGGAAGAGUCAUGUGACAAAAUGAGAGGCAGAAUAUAAGCAUCAGAAACCGAGGACUCGAAAAGAACUGGAUCAUGGUUACAGACUGAGGUAAGGAGAGAGAUGAGAGAGGAAAUUUUGAUCCAAAUUAAGGAGGCGACGUUUGGGGGUUUUGUAGCAAUAAUGUGAUAUUUAUACCGGACAAACUAGCUAGGGUUAAUAGAAAACAGACGCCCCACUAAUAAAUCGACACCUGAGCUGCUUCUCAAUCCCAAAAUUGUCUUAAUUAUCGUCAUAAUUAGUAAGGAUAAGAUGUUUCAUGCAGAGAUCGAUAGUACGUUUAGAACAUUACUAUUGAAUUGAUCAGUGGAGAUCGUUAUGAUGAGCAUCAAUAGCCUUGCGGAGAAAGAUCUCAUAAAUCAAAUCAAGAAUUAACAUAUGCGGCCGGUGACUUCAAAACAAAUUUCUUCCAUCCCUUUCGCUCCCAUGUCUGAAUAAGUGGAGUCAUCAUUUUAGUAGAGGGAUUUUGGCAUAUCAUUGAGCGACGAUCAUUGUAAGCACCUCACUUGUUCAUGUUUUUUCCGCAAAUGCUCUUCACAAUUUAGUGCCUCUUUAUGUCCGUAGAUGAAUUAUAUAGGGGUAUUACCAAAGUCCCCGUUGUUCCUCUCGGUUUAUAUAUAGCAAUGCCAAAGACAUUGGGUAUAUAAGUGUACUCAAAUCAACCACAUCACUUCAUCAAAGGUACUUGGGGCAAUAGGGGGUGUUUCUUGCGCUUGGGUUGUAUAUUAAAGUGUAACUAGUUAUCCAUAUUUUCUGCUUUACAUAAUAAUAAAAAGUAUGAAACUUCAAAAGGCAAAAGCUACUCAUCUUGAAAUUAGAUUGGAGUCGUGUCUUUUCUCAGUUAACACAAUCGAGCUUAAAUAACUUACGCGUGUCAUGUUUUGUAAAACUAUUAAAAUUAUUAUUUUCAGUGGUAUUAAGUGAUUUUUCAACCUUGUGUUGUCUUCAAUUCUACUCAUACUGAUCUCGGGAAACUCAGUUUUCAAUAAAAGUUAUGCAUUACCUCACCCCUCAAGUUUCCCCCUAAUUUGAGUAAAAACCUCUUGCUAGCACGUACAAGUAUUUAGACAAAUUUCACUUUUUUUUAGUCUCCUAUUUUUCAUUUGUGUGUGCUUAUAGACACUGUCUAACAUUUUUGGAACAAUUCAAGCAUUAAAAAUUCGUGUCUUUACUCAUUUUACGCACAAUCAAGUUUAAAUGACUCGUCUGUGCCGUAUUUUAUAAAACUAUUAAAAUUGUUAUUUUCAGAGGUAUUGAUUGCAUUUCUAAUCUCGUGAUGUCUUCAAUUAUUCUCACACUGACUUGGGGAAGCUCACUUACUAAAAAUUACGUAUCACCUCUCCCCUCAAGUUUUGCCUGAUUUGAUUUAAAAUCUUUUGCUAUAGCAUACGAGUUUUUAGGAAAUUUCAUUUUUUCUUGACCUUUAGUUUUUUUCAUUUGUGAGUGCUUAUAGACACCUCCUAACAUCUUUUGAACCAAUAUGGCAUCAAAAAUCCGUAUAUUUUCUCAUUUUACGUGUGAUCGAGUUUAAAUAACUCACGCGUGCCGUGUUUUGUAAAGCUAUUGAAAUUGUUAUUUUCUGAGGUAUCAAGUGCAUUUCUAAUUAAGCUUGUGAUGUCUUCAAUUCUUCUCAUACUGAUCUGGGAAAGCUCAGUUUUCAGUAAAAAUUAAGUAUCACCUCUCCCCUCAAGUUUCACAUGAUUUUAGCCAAAACUCCUUGUUCACAUGAGUUUUUAGAAAAAUUUCACUGUUUUUGGACCUCAUGUUUUUCCCAUUCUUGGGUGCUUAAACACAAUGUCAAGGAUCUGUACCAUUUCAUCUUAGUCCUUGCCUAUUUAUCCUCUAUCUUAUUUUGAAUUUUGCAACAAGGGCAAUAUUAAAUGUAAUUAUUAAGCUAGACUUGCUAGUUUCAUCUCAUUCAAAGAAAACUUCUCAAAUUAACUAAACAUU